UUCUACCAUCUUUUCAAGAUCUUCCUCACUCAGCUCCUUUUCAUUGGGAAAAAAUGGAAGGUUAUGGGCUUUUCCAGCUUCGUUCUUAACUUUUUGGCCUGUAUUGAAUUAAUCCGCUUCAAAAUCUGUUCCCAAAGACGGAAAAACAGAAUUAUCAAUCUAUAUAACACAUUGAUAGGAUGAAGUAAUGCAAGAUAAAUUAUCAAUCUUAACUUUUAGCCCUGUAUUGAAUUCAUCCUCCAAAAAAUAUGUUCCCAAAGACGAAAAAACAGAAUUAUCAAUCUAUAUAACACAUUGGUAGGAUGAAGUAAUGCAAGAUAAACCAAAAUUAUCCCCUACCGUAACAACGAAACAUGAUGCCUAAACAUCACCACAUCCACUAAUUUUUAUUUUUUAUAUAAGUAAUAAAUUUUCUUACCAAAUGCGUAAAAAGAGAGCAAGAGUAUCAGCACAUCCAUUAAUAUAAUCAAUGGACUCUUACCAAAUGCGUAAAAUAUGCUUGUGUAUAAAAAUUCAGACUAGCCAGCUACAAUUUACAUCUUCCAUGGGUUUUCAUUUUUCCUCGACCAGUACUCGACCGGACGCCAUAAGCCAGUCGACCGAUCCAUCAACAGGUUGACCGGUUGAUCUAAUCCUCGACCGGUUGAGUUUUUUUGGCCUCGAAAAACCUAUUUUCUAAUUCCUUUCUUUUCUAAAACUUAUGGAAGGUCUUUAGGUGAGUUAAUAUGCGAAUUUUGAAUCAAUUUGCCUAAGGUCUAUUUGAUAAAACUCGGGUUUUAAAGAAAAUCAAGUUUUAAAUAAAAAACCGAGUUUUCUAAGGUGCAUGAAAAGGUAUGAACAUCCUAAGUGCACUCAUGCUAUCAUCUUACAUUCAUUUCCUAUGAUGUCAAGUAUUCCAAUCGUCUCGAUAUUGUAUCCAUUUGGUCCUUUGAUGAAUUUCGUAGUUAAUACUUGAGAUUCUUAAACAUUAAACCAAUUAGUUACUUAACCAUAGUUUGUUAUCAUCGAAACCCGAUUAGGAGAACCCUUGGGCUAACAAGCUCCCUCUAUUUGAUGAUGACAAACCUUGGUUAUCUAGGAUAGAAAGAAAUCUCCCCCUCAAACCAAUCAUGGAUCAAUCAAAUGAUAAGCAAUGUAAAACACGAAGAAUCAAUUGAUAAAAAUAUCAUAUCAUAUCAUAUAUAUAUGGAAAUCUCACAUGUACAAUAAGAUAGAUAUGACAUUGAUAACAAUGACAUGCAUGAGAGACUAAUAGAUCCUAUAGAUCGUACAUCCUAUAAAUAUCUCCCCCUUUGGCAACAUAAAAAAGAAACGAAGGGGGAUCCCAAACACACUCAUGGCUGAGGAGGUGGUGGUGGAAACACAGAACGUAUGUAAGCCAUCAUCUCCUCGUCAACGUUAUUAUCUUUGUAAAAAAGGGGAAAAAAAUAAUAAUUUGAUAUUAUUAUUGUAACAUGUACAAAAUUAAAUAAAAUGAAGUUAUUAAAUAAAUUAAUUUAAACUAUAAAUAUUAUAAAAAUAAUAAAUUGGAUUUAGAUUAGGUUUGGGUUGUUCGAAUUUUUAUUUGUAUUUCACCUUAAUUAAGUUUGGGGAAAAAAAAUUGUACCCUAAGAUUAUAAAUAAUUGUCGAACCUUAUCCAAAAAAAGGUUGGCUUAAGUCAUGACAACUUGCCUAAAUUGCACCUCCUAAUUCCGAUUAUCCAAAAAAGACUUGAUGGCCUAUUGAAGAAAAAGGAUCAAAUCUCAAUAACCCCUUAAAUGAGGAUUCAACAUAAGAUCAACAUUUUUUAAACAAGUAAAUUUUGGAACGACUUUGUGGGAUUGAAAGAAACUAACAAAAACCAACAAAGGUACAAAAACUGAUACAUAUGGUGGUAGCAUAAGGUUAUAUAAUUCAUUAGUUACUUCAAAUGCAAUUAUUAUGAUCUGUGCGAACGGUCAUUUAUUAUUUUAUUCAUGUUCGUUAUGUCCAUGUUGAAUUGUGUUAUUUAACUAAAAAUUGCAUCAAAUGCAUUGGAAGCCUAUGUCUAUACAUGAUAAGAUUUGGUUUUUUAAGGAUCACAAGGUUCGUUUGGUGUUUGAUGUCAGCUUGUCUGUGGGUAAGCCUAUGUCUUGAUCUAUGUUGUUGGGAAUAGUAACAAAGAGAAGUCAUAUGUCAUGAUCUAAUCGCCAUAUCACAUACCUAAAUGAAAACAAAAUGAAUUUUAUUAACCGGUCGACCGGUUAACUUCUGCCGGAUGCGUACUUUUCUCAACCGGUAGCCACUGGCCCUUUUGGUUGCUGGAUUCUCAAAUGGACAGUGGCUACCGGUUGAGAAAAGUAAGAAACCGGUAGAAGAUAACCGGUCGACCGAUUAACAUUUCCUUGUAUAAGUUGUAAUUUGUUUGGAUUCCCCUAUAGAUUUGUGUAUUGAUAGGCCAUUUGGUAUUUUGCUACCUGUAAUUGCUCUUUCUUUGAAGGGACAUCAUUGUGGUAAACGAACAUCCAUAUAAACCGACCUUUAGUUGCGUGCAAGCGGGUAUAUAUUUUAUGUGAAGGUGCGUUAAUAAUAGAGGUCGAAGUGAUUAUUAAUAAUUUAAACUAUAAAUANNNNNNNNNNNNNNNNNNNNNNNNNNNNNNNNNNNNNNNNNNNNNNNNNNNNNNNNNNNNNNNNNNNNNNNNNNNNNNNNNNNNNNNNNNNNNNNNNNNNUAAACUAUAAAUAUUAUAAAAAUAUUAAAUUGGAUUUUGAAUCCUCACAUUCUUCGUACCCUCCCAAUUCUCCAAAAAUACUAAAAAAUUCAAAAAUAUUAAAAAAUUAACAAGGGUGCGAGGAAUGUGAGGAAUCUUCACAUUCUUCGUACCCUCCCAAUUCUGCACUUAUUUGGACUUUUUAAAAAUAUCUGGGGCAUCAUAUGGCUUGUAUGUUGUUUAAGUUGGUCCGUUACACUUAGAAGGUGGUCAAAUGACAUCCGGAAAAAUCGAAAUCCAAAAAUACUAAAAAAUUCACAAGGGUACGAAGAAUGUGAGGAAUCCUCACAUUCUUCGUACCCUCCCAAUUCUCCACUUCUUUGGACUUUUUAAAAAUAUUUGGGGCAUCAUAUGGCUUGGAUGUUGUUUAAGUUGGUCCGUUACACUUAGAAGGUGGUCAAAUGACAUCCGGAAAAAUCGAAAUCAAAAAAUACUAAAAAAUUCACAAGGGUACGAAGAAUGUGAGGAAUCCUCACAUUCUUCGUACCCUCCCAAUUCUCCACUUCUUUGGACUUUUUAAAAAUAUUUGGGGCAUCAUAUGGCUUGGAUGUUGUUUAAGUUGGUCCGUUACACUUAGAAGGUGGUCAAAUGACAUCCGGAAAAAUCGAAAUCAAAAAAUACUAAAAAAUUCACUACAUUUUGAGGGUGUGAAAUGGAUCGUAAAAUUCAAAGUGAAAGUUUACCGAACAAAUAUGUGAGGGGUUUAAACUUUUUUGGAUUUAAUAUGGCUUGGAUAUUGUUUAAAUCAGUUCAUUAUACUUAGGAGGUGGUCAAAUGAUUUCCAGAAAAAUCCAAAUCUAAACAUACUCAAAAAAUUCUGUACAUUUUGAGGGUGUGAAAUGGAUCGUAAAAUUCAAAGUGGAAGUUUACCGAAAAAAUAUGUGAGGGGUUUGGAUUUCCAUAUUGUUAGUAAUUAUACCUUUUUUGUAUUUUCAAUAUUUCAACCAAUUUUUUUUGAAAAGCUAAGAAAUCUCAAUUAAUAAUUAGUACACAACUAAUUUAAUUUUAAUUUGAUAUAUAUUUUAUAAAAUUUAGUUCUAGUUUUCCUAUUUUUUUAAGUUCAUAAACCAAUUAUAUUGCUUUUCACACUUCAAAUAUUAGUCAAAUUUUUUUCAACAAAUUAUUUGAUGUUAAAAUAAAAUAAAUUUACUUUUCCUUAAUUUCUAAAUUAUAUCACCAAAUUCUUUAUAAUUUUUUUUAUUUUAAAUUUAAUUUUUAUGUGGGGUUUAAUCACUUUAUAGUACAAAAAUAAAUAAACUGUAAUUUAUUUUUUCAAAAUUUUCUUUAUUUAUUAUUUGAUGUUAAAAUAAAUUAAAUUUACUUUUCCUUAAUUUCUAAAUUAUAUCACCAAAUUCUUUAUAAUUUUUUUUAUUUUAAAUUUAAUUUUUAUGUGGGGUUUAAUCACUUUAUAGUACAAAAAUAAAUAAACUGUAAUUUAUUUUUUCAAAAUUUUCUUUAUUUAUUAUUUGAUGUUANNNNNNNNNNNNNNNNNNNNNNNNNNNNNNNNNNNNNNNNNNNNNNNNNNNNNNNNNNNNNNNNNNNNNNNNNNNNNNNNNNNNNNNNNNNNNNNNNNNNUUCAUAAACCAAUUAUAUUGCUUAUCACACUUCAAAUAUUAGUCAAAUUUUUCUCAACAAAUUAUUUGAUGUUAAAAUAAAUUAAAUUUACUUUUCCUUAAUUUCUAAAUUAUAUCACCAAAUUCUUUAUAAUUUUUUUUUAUUUUAAAUUUAAUUUUUAUGUGGGGUUUAAUCACUUUAUAGUACAAAAAUAAAUAAACUGUAAUUUAUUUUUUCAAAAUUUUCUUUAUUUAUUAUUUGAUGUUAAAAUAAAAUAAAUUUACUUUUCCUUAAUUUCUAAAUUAUAUCACCAAAUUCUUUAUAAUUUUUUUUAUUUUAAAUUUAAUUUUUAUGUGGGGUUUAAUCACUUUAUAGUACAAAAAUAAAUAAACUGUAAUUUAUUUUUUCAAAAUUUUCUUUAUUUAUUAUUUGAUGUUAAAAUAAAAUAAAUUUACUUUUCCUUAAUUUCUAAAUUAUAUCACCAAAUUCUUUAUAAUUUUUUUUAUUUUAAAUUUAAUUUUUAUGUGGGGUUUAAUCACUUUAUAGUACAAAAAUAAAUAAACUGUAAUUUAUUUUUUCAAAAUUUUCUUUAUUUAUUAUUUGAUGUUAAAAUAAAUUAAAUUUACUUUUCCUUAAUUUCUAAAUUAUAUCACCAAAUUCUUUAUAAUUUUUUUUAUUUUAAAUUUAAUUUUUAUGUGGGGUUUAAUCACUUUAUAGUACAAAAAUAAAUAAACUGUAAUUUAUUUUUUCAAAAUUUUCUUUAUUUAUUAUUUGAUGUUAAAAUAAAUUAAAUUUACUUUUCCUUAAUUUCUAAAUUAUAUCACCAAAUUCUUUAUAAUUUUUUUUAUUUUAAAUUUAAUUUUUAUGUGGGGUUUAAUCACUUUAUAGUACAAAAAUAAAUAAACUGUAAUUUAUUUUUUCAAAAUUUUCUUUAUUUAUUAUUUGAUGUUAAAAUAAAAUAAAUUUACUUUUCCUUAAUUUCUAAAUUAUAUCACCAAAUUCUUUAUAAUUUUUUUUAUUUUAAAUUUAAUUUUUAUGUGGGGUUUAAUCACUUUAUAGUACAAAAAUAAAUAAACUGUAAUUUAUUUUUUCAAAAUUUUCUUUAUUUAUUAUUUGAUGUUAAAAUAAAUUAAAUUUACUUUUCCUUAAUUUCUAAAUUAUAUCACCAAAUUCUUUAUAAUUUUUUUAUUUAUUUUAAAUUUAAUUUUUAUGUGGGGUUUAAUCACUAUGUAGUACAAAAAUAAAUAAACUGUAAUUUAUUUUUUCAAAAUUUUCUUUAUUUUUCUGUUUCAUAAAAAAAAAUUCCUAAACAAAAUAAUUACAUUAAACAAAUUUAUAAUUGGUUAAUGUAAUAAAUGUAACAAUGUGUGUUGCAUGAAAUUAUUUCCCAUGGCAACCGGUUGGGUGACUUGAAGAACAGGUUUUGUUUUUUUUUUCUUUUUUAAAUGCCAUGUGUCUCUACCCUAUUAGCCCAAAAAAAGUUGGUAUGGUACCGAAAAGUGCUUUUCGGUACCGUAGCAAGACCCUAAAAAAUAACAUAAAUAUAUUUCAUGGAGUGGACCAGUGUGUACUUAGUUGACCAGGACUGACGACAGCAAUGACGUGGAAUGAUCAAAGCAAUGACCUCUCGUGGAAGCAACCAGAGCAUUGGAUGCUCCAUAACCAAACUUUACUUCACUCGCAAACUUGUGGCACAAGCUCAUUAGUUUUAGUUCUAUUAUUUACUAGUAAAAUUAAAAUUUAAUAAGUUUUUAAAAAUAAAUAAAUGUGCUGAUUUUUUUUUAAUGCAGAUAUUAUAUAUAUAAAAGCUAAAUUGCUUUCUAUUUGAUAAUAUUUUUGGAUUUAAAUAUGAUAUUAAUUUUAAAAUUAAAUUAUUUUUGUACAAAUGAUAAAAAUACAGGAAUAUGUCAACCGACAGUUUUAAUUUUUUUUUUUAAAAAAGUGAUUACAUUAAAAUGAGAUUUGAUAAAUAAAUUCUAGACUGAUAAAAACCAUAUAGAAAAACUUAAAAUAUUGGAAUUCUGGAAUUCUGGAGAAAGAAAGAAAACUGAGAUAAUGAUAUAAUAUGGAAGGAAAGUGCAUGCUGAGAUAAGGAAUGAGCAUCACCACCUCCUAGAAAUUUCCAAGGUUUUAACCCACUCUCUGAGAUUUGCUAUAAAUACUUGACAAUUUCCCUUGGGUUGUUCAUCAAUACUUGAGUCUGAAUCUUAUUGAUCACAGUAGGAGCAAUGGCAGACGAGAUUAUCUUGUUGGAUUUCUGGCCUAGCAUGUUUGGUAUGAGGGUCAGACUUGCCCUGUCAGAGAAGGGCCUCAAGUAUGAAUAUAAAGAGGAGGACCUUAGGAACAAGAGCCCUCUGCUUCUUGAGAUGAAUCCAGUUCAUAAGAAAAUCCCGGUUCUGAUCCACAAUGGAAAGCCCAUUUGUGAGUCUCUGUUAAUAGUUCAGUAUAUUGAUGAGGUUUGGCACGAUAAAUCUCCGCUUUUGCCUAGUGACCCAUACCAGAGAGCCCAGGCCAGGUUCUGGGCGGACUACGUAGACAAGAAGGUAUGUCUUUGCUGUUGAUUUAAAGCCUUUUUUUUCCAUUGAUUCAUGGCGAUUGGCUCAGAUUUUGAUAAUGAUGAGGGAUUUGUCCAAAAUGCUGGGUUCUUCUUCACACAUUCUCUUCUGACAUUAAGUUUUGUGGGCCUUGGGGUCUCAAACUAGAACUUUACUGAUUCUCUUUGCUGCGUGUGCAACAAGACUCCACUUUGCAUUUCUGAUGUGGGUUUUCAGUUCUUUGUUAUAUAUGGGUUUUCAUUUCUUUGUUCUGCUGAAUCUGAAGUCCGUUCUUUCCACCCAAAAAAGCAGAUCUCAAGAAUGCCUUUUCCCUCAAGAAAGGGGAUCCAAAAACCAGUUUUUACAGCACAGUGUUUGGUUUUUUUUUGUUAUCCUGAUGUUCAACAUUUUGCAGAGCAGUUCUUUUAAUACAUGUUUUGUUGCUUUGAUCUCUUUCUUCUCAUUUUCUAAAACCCACAUUGAGGGGAAAAGCUUUAGCAAAUGAUACAUUCUUUCAACUGAUUCUGAUAUUUUUCUGCCACCGGCCCUUCAUUUAAUAUGUUCCUAGUAUAUGAGAUUUCUAUGCUGAAGGGUCCUUAAUAAACUUGUCCAACUAUACAGAAAGUUGAAACUUGAUGAAAUGCUCCAAAAAAAUAACCCUUUUCUCUCUUUGACUUUAUUGUUUUCCACAGCUCUAUGAACUUGGAAGGAAGAUAUGGUCAACCAAAGGAGAAGAGCAGGAAACAGCCAAGAAGGAAUUCAUAGAGUGCCUCAAGCUUCUGGAAGGAGAGCUUGGAGAGAAGCCUUACUUCGGCGGUGAAAAAAUUGGGUUUGUGGAUGUGGCUCUGGUGACCUUCUCUUGCUGGUUUCAUGCAUAUGAGAGCUUUGGAAACUUCAGCAUAGAGGCGGAGUGUCCCAAGUUGAUAGCUUGGACCAAGAGGUGCAUGGAAAAGGAGAGCGUGUCGUCUUCUCUGGAAGACCCACACAAGGUCCAUGGCUUUGUUAUGGGGAUGAGAAAGAAGCUUGGCAUAGAAUAACUAUUUUGUAGUGUUGCUGUGGUAAUAUUAGAUAUAUGUGAGUGUUUGGCUGUUUGCUUAAGUUUUUGCUUUGAAAUUGUAUGGUUACUAUUUGCAGUUGAAACCCCUUUUGGAGGGUUGGUGGGUUUGCUGGAAAGAAAUGUUUUGAAUUUGUUUUCAUUUGUUUUGGACUGGACUAGAGAGGUGUUCUUUGUAUUCCAUCAUUUCGUGUCAUAAACAAGUAUUAACACAAGUUGGAUAAGGCAUGCCUCUGGCCCUUUAUGGUAACGUACAAAGAUAUCAUGGGCCUACAAAGAUAUCAUGGGCUACAGAAUAGGUUAGGGCCCGCUUUUUAAAUCACUUUUUUUAACUAAUAUGUUUGGCAAAAGAUGUUCUUCAAUAAUUUAAUUCAUCUUCCUUGUCGGUCAUUUUAAGUAACAAGAAAAUGAAAAAGAAAUAAGAGAAAAGUUCAAUCACGUUCCAUAAUGUUUGUUUUUGAAAAUUGCUUUUAUGUUAAACAAACAAAAAUAAUUUUUUAAAAUUUUAUAAAAUUUUAUAAAAUAAGGAUGUUUGACAAGUUAUUUUGAAAUUGGUUUUUCUUUUAAAAAAAAAUAAUUUUUCUAUGUUGAUUUUGUAAAAAUAUUCUAAAUUUAAUUAAUAGAAAUUUAAUUGAGGUCUUAUAAAAAAUGAAAUUAGUUUUAAAUUAUAAAUAAAUUAAAAAUAGUAUAAUAUAUCAGCGUGGACCUAUUUUUUUUACGUGCGUCCUCACUCGACGAUGAGACUCGUUUUUUAUUUAUUUGGUGAAAAAUAUGAUUUUUAGAAAAAGAUUUGAAGUCCUCAUUGAUUUUUGUUUUAUUUUUCAAGGGAAAGACAAAAUAAAAAAUAAAAACCCUAAAUAUGAUUUCUGAAGGAAAAAUAGGUUUGUGAAAAAUCGAGUUUGGGUUUGGGGAUCAAGUUACUUAUUAGGAAGGUAUGGUAAUGAGUUAUAACACCCCUCUAAGCUCGUUUAUGUACGACCUCUACUAAAUGAAUUAAGGAAAUUGUGACAAUUAAUUAAUUAAUUAUAGAUACCAAGAAAAAUAAUCAUGUAAAUGAGUAUGUACAAGUCAAGGUGAAAAUUAAUAUACACAAAAAUAAUGAUGAAAUCUAAUUACAAGAAUACACAAAAUAAAUAACAAAAGAAUUAUGCAAAAAUAAUUUAUUGAACUAAAUAAAAAAUAUUAAAAAAAUAGUUUUCAAGAAAUUUCGAAGGAUUUUAUUAAAAAUGAUUUUUAAUUAAUGAUUUUAAUUUUUUUUAUUUACAAAAAAGAAGUUUCAAUUUAUUUUCAAUUAAUGAUUUGAUUCAAUUUCAUUUGUAUUUAAUUUUUUUUAAAAAAAAAGUUAUUUGCACUUAUUAUAUCAAAAGAAUUUAUUACAAAAUUUCAAUUUGGUAAUAAAAAUGAUUUUUACUUGCUUUUACAAAAAAAAUUACAAUUUUAUUUACGAAAGUAUUUCACUUUGUUUUAAUUUGAGAAAAGUGACUUAUACAAAUUAUUAAAAAGAAUAUAACUUUAUUUGCAAAAGAAUUUUUAAUUAAAAAUUAAUUUUUGGGACAACUUUAUUUACAAAAUAAUGUUUGGACAAUUUUUAUUAAACAAAUAAAUUUUUGGACAAUUAUUAUUAAAAAUAAUUUUUCAAAUUCUAUUAAAAACAAUUUUUUUGGAUUUUUCUAAAAGCAUUUUUUUGAAUUUUUAUUAAUAAAAAAAACUUUCUUUUAUUAAAAAGAAUAUUUUAAAAUUAUUAUUUUAUUAGAAUAUAUUUACUAAAUUAUUCCUCUUAUUUAAAUGACAAUUUUGAUUUGUUAAAUAUUUAAUUCUGUAUAUACUCAAUAAAUAUAUACAAACUAAUAUUUACAAGAACUAAUAGAAAUAAAAUCAAACAGAAGUGAGCAAUAAAACGUGUACCCAAAUAAGGUUACAACAAGCUUAAUGUCUCUCUACAACUUUUUUAUUCUUACUUUCUUCCAUGAAAUUUUGUGCUUCACGUGUUAUAAAUUUGUACUCAGCCAAUAGAAUUGCAGAAUAGGCCCAUGCAAAAACAAAAAUAGUUCAAAUGUAAAUAUCCAAAGGUGUACAAAAUCCUUAACAAAUAUUCAAACUCAAAUUCAAAUUUCAAAUUAGUUCGAUAAAUCUUGUCAAUCAAAAUGGACACAAAUUAACAAAUAUAACCUAACAAAAACAUCUCACAUGCUAUAAACCUUAAUCCAAAAAUUUCAAAUUAAUAACCAAAAUACAACACAAUUAGCCAAGCCCAAAAUAUCACAAAAUAAAAUAAAUUCAAUUAGGCCUAAAUUUAAUAUUUCAUAAUCCAAGCCUAAUUUAAUAUACACCAUAAUUGUCCCACAUCCAAAUUAAAUAGUUCAAAUUGGUGAAGCUCAUAUCAAAUAUUCAAGUCAUCAAUCAAAUUUCACCCACAUUGUGGACCCAAAAUCCAUACCUAUAUUAUGGGUCCAAAAUUCAUAUCAAUUAACAAGCCCACAUUAAUAAUACACAUGACCAAAGAAAAUAAUUUCCCAAGCCCAAUCCAAUAAGCCCAAAUAAAUAACAUUAGAUUCAAGUCAAAAUCAAUUACUAUGCAAACAAAAAUAAAAAAAUAAAGAUAAAAAAAUGAAAAUAAAAUAAAGUAAAAAGGAAAUUUACCCUUUUUUUUUAUAACUAUGGGUGGUAGGAUUGCUAGUCGGCAGUGACUGGCAGGUAAUGGCGGGUGGUGGCGGGCAGUGGUUGUCGGUAGUGGUGGGUGGUGGUUGGCCGGUAGUGGCCGUGGAGUGUGGGGAAGGGAAAAGGAAAGAAAAAGGAAGAGAAAAAAAAAUGAAGGAAGAUGGGGAGCGUGUGACAGUGGGGGUUUGUGGAAAAUGGCAGUGUAGAGAGAAGGACUAUGAGAAGAAGAAAAAAAAAAUGGAAGAGAAAAUGGGGACCAUCGUGUGUGAUAGUUGGGGGGAAGAAAAAAAAAAGAAAAAAGGAAGGGAGGAGAUGGGAGAGUUGACCGUGUUUGGUGUGUGGGUCGUGGAGCGGUUGUUGUGUUGGAAGGGAGCCUGAAGAAGAAAUGAUGGAGGAAAAAAAAGUGAAGAGAGGAACGUAGAGAAAGAUGAUAAAAAAAAAAAAAAAAAAAAAAAAACUUGGAGGGGGUAUGGGGAGUGGCUUAGACAUGUAGGAGAAGGAAAUGGGUAAGGGAAGUAGGUGGAGUGGGUAGAAUGAGGGGAAAGAGGAAGAGAGAAGAGAGAAGAGAGUGAAAAUAAAUAAAAUUAAAUUAAAAAUAAAAAUAUAAUAAUAAUAAUAAUAAUAAUAAUAAAUAAAUAAAUAAAUAAAUAAAAAUAAUAAUAAAAAUAAUAAUAAAAAUAAUUUAUAAAAUAAUAAAAACUAAGAAUUAAAGGGUGUAAGUGGGCUAAACAAUUAAGAUGUAAUCAAAAUUUAAAUCUAAGGAUAAAAUUGAGCUCAAUAUCAAUGUAAAAAUAAAAUUAGGACAAAUUUUGGGGUCUACAAUCGGUUUUCAUAUAUUAUUUCUUAUGGUGAUUAGAUCUAUUUACUAGGUUGUAACUUAAAAAAAAAAAAAAAAAACCUAUUAGUAAAUUCAAUGUUACUUGAUUUGAAGUUUAUUCUUUAAUAAAAAAAUUUAUAAAAAUAUAAGUAUGUAUAGAAAAAAAGUAGACUCAUUAAAACCCAAUUUUUAUCCAUAAAUUUUUAAUAUUAACCACUAUUUAAGUUUUAAGUUAUUUAAAAAAAUUACUAAACUCAUUAAUUAAUUUAAUGUAUUAAGUUUUGUUUAAUUUGGAUUUUAUUUGUCUAGUGAAAUAAAUAAAUAAAAAAUAUAGUUUCAUGUAGAAGAGAAACAAUAGAGUCAUUGUAGAUUAGAACUAGAAGUUAUAAAAAAUAUGUAAAAUAUAUAUAAUUAUAUAGCUGGAGUUUAUAUUAUAAAUUAUAAAGUUAAAAAAAAUAUAAAAAACUACCUUCAAUGUAAUUUCUAAUUUCUUUUAAUUAUAAUGUAUAAUCAAAAGUUAGACAAAACAAAAUUGUACACUCAUAAGUUAAAUAAUGAAUAUUUCAUAGCCUCAAAGGUGUAUACAAUUUUACACAUUUUUGUUAUGAUAAAAAUAAUCCAUAGCCAAAAACUAUGAAAGCGAUCAAUUCGUAAUUUUUAUUUUGUUAAUAUUACAUGAUGUUCAUGCAUUUUUUUAAACCAUAUUUAUAAUAAUCCUAUAGCGAUAAAAUAUAACAAAAUCUUAAAUCGUUAUAGUUUUAUUAUAGAAUAUUAACUGGAUAAAUAUUGUUAGAUAAUUUAAUUAAUUUAUUUUAAUAAAUUAAAAUAUUAUUCUAAUAAAAUUAUUUCAAAUAUUAUUCUAAUUUAAAAAUUACUAGACUGUUAAGUCUUGUUUAAUUUUGAGUUCAUUUAUAUAGUAAAAUAAAAUUGGAAAAUAUGAUUUCAUGUAGAAGAAAAAUAAUAGAGUUGUUAUAGACUAAUUUUCAUCCAUAAAUUUUUAAUAUUAAUUACAUCAUUAUUUGAGUUUUAAGUUAUUUCUAGAAAUUACUAAAUUUAUUAAUGAAUUCAACACAUUAAGUUUGGUAUAAUUUUAAGUUUAUUUGUCCAAUGAAACAAAAUUGGAAACAAUAAAGUCAUUCAAGUUCAAUUUUUGUCCAUAAAUUUAUGGUAUUAAUUGGAUCACUAUUUGCAUUGCAAUUUAUUUUUAAGAAUUACUUAGACUUGUUAAUAAAUUCAACGCAUUAAGUCAUACUUGAUUUGGUGAUUAUUUACUAAGUGAAAAAAAUUGUAAAAAUAUGAUUAUAUGCAAAGAAAAAACUAGCCAAGACAUUUAAAUGAAUUUUGGUGUAUGAUAUUCUAAUGUUAGUGAGUUUCAUGACUUUAUAGUACUAACUAAAUCAAUUUUUGACUUUUAAGUUAUUUUUAAAAAUUAGUAAAUUUUAUGUAUAAAGUAUAAUUUGAUUUAGAAUUUAUUUUAUCAAUGAAAAUUUUCUUAAAUUAAAUGAAAUUCAUUAAAACACAUGUAAUUUAAAAGAAUAUUAUAUUUGAAGAUUUUUAGUAUCGGUAUUAGAUCGUAGAAAGAGGUAAAGAAGAAUGAUAUCAUCUUCAAUCUUAUUUGCUUUUUAUAGUUUUUUUAAAUUCCUCUAUAUUUUUCUUUUGCUUUUAAAAAUUGAUGAAAACAAUUUCUACUUGUUUUCUAAAAUAUGUUUUUUAUUUCACUUUAUUUUUAAAAAUUACAAAUAGAAAACAACUAACAAACAAUUUUAUGAAUUUUUAAAAAUAGUUUUUUUUUUAAUUUUUAAAAACAAAAGUUAUUUUUUAAUGAAAUGGCCAAAUGGGCUAAAAACUUUUCAACAGCAAAUUUUGAGAAUUUGGGUCAAGUGCUAUGUGCUCUUGUACAAUCCUCCACUAUUUUUGGCCUUCAUGUCACCGUUGUCAACUUUUACUGUGAAUAAGUUCACGAGCUUAUCUUACUUUAUAUUCGAGAGCAAGGAACAAGAUCUUGAGAGAUGCUUGGUUUGUUUUUUUUUUUGUAUUAAAGAAAUAAAAGAGUAUUCACUUACUAUUCCAUUUUGUACUAAAAAAAUUUGAUAAGACAUUGAUAGGCAUGUAAAUAUUAUAACAUUUAAAUAAACUAAAAAUAUUUUUGUUAUAUUAUUUUAAUUUUAAUUUUUGAACUUUCAUAUUAACGUUCGUUUUAAUUUUUCAUAUGAUUUAAAAUUGAUCAUGGUUCUAACCUUUUACUAGGCUAAAAUCUUUAACUUUUUUAGAUACAUAAAAUAGAAAAUAAAAUAUAUUUUCAUAUAAAUUGUAUUAACAUUUCUUUAAUUAAUUUUUAUAUUUCUUAAAAUACAUAUAUCUUAAAAUACAUAUAUCUUUUUUAAAAAAUAAGUACAUCAUUUAGAAAAAUAGGUACAUCUAAUAUAAAAACAUGUACAUUUCAUUUCAUCGGGGAUUCUUAUCCUCAUUCAACCUAAUUCGGGUGUGGGAUUUCACUUAUGUAGGUCUCAGAAUGCAUUUGAGGUCUUCUUAUACCCUAUUCAACAUGAUAUAACUUUGUGUACAUGUUUUAAAAAAAUGUAUAAAAGUUUAGAAAAGUAUUUACAUCUAAUUUGAGUUGAAUCAUUCCCUUAUUCGACCUAUUUUGAAUCUAAAUUUUAACUUCUAUAUACCUCAUGAUGCAUUCCCAAACCCUAUUUGGCAUGGUAGAACCCUAGGUACAUAUGUUACAAAAAUAAGUAUACUCUUAAGAAAAAGUACAUCUUUUACAAUAAUAACUAUAUUCUUAAAUAUAUAUAUAUAUAUAUAUAUAUAUAUAUACAUUCGUAAGAAAAAUGCAUAUAUUUGAUUUGAGGUUAACCAUGAUCCAAUUCAACCUAAUUUGGAUAUAAGAUUUGACUUAUAUAUGCCUCAAAAUGUAUUUUAUGCCUUCCAAAACUUCAUGUAGCAUGGUAGAAGUAUAGGUUCUGAAAAGGUGAAUCUCAAUAGUGGAAUACACCUAAAGGGGGGUUGAAUAGGUGUUUUGACCAAUUGAACAAAAUCUCAACUCAAAUUAGUAAACCUUAAAACUUCUUGAAUAUUUUUCUUCUCUUCACAAAGUCUAAAAAACAAAUUAUAAAUCACAUGAAUAUAUGAAUGCAACAACACUCCCCAACAAUAUUCAAAUGAAAUUCACAUGCACAUGAUCUAAUACUCCUAAACCCAAAUCAACUUAAAACUAAAUUAUGAUAAAAACAAGAUCAAUAUACAUCAAAAUAUCAAUGAUUAACAAUCAGAAAUGACUUCAAAGAUAAUUCAUAGCCAUUUCUCUUUAUCAUUCAAUCAAAUACUAGACAAUCAAAAUUAUAAUAAAUUGUAGAAACUAAAAAAUGAUGCGAAGAAGAGAAAACGAGACAAUGAGACACCAUAAAUUUACAUGGAAAAUUUUUGAAGAGAUAAAAAACCAUAAGCCUACUACCAAUCAAAAACAUCCACUAUGAAGAAUAAAAACUAAAUACAAGGUUUUACCUAGCUCAAGCCAACUAAUCCUUCCCGGACCACUUGACUAGUACCUUCACUUUUAGUUUCUCACAUUCUUAUUUUAGAGCACAUUUGGAGUCUACACCAAGCUCGAUCUCGACCUCUUAUUGAUUUCACAUAAGAAAAAAAUGGGUUUUUGUGCAAAACCAAGAGAAUUAGAUAUGAAUGUUUCAAAAAUCAACCCAUGCUCAUUUUCAAAAAAUCCAUUUUAAAAAAAUUUCUUAGAAAACUUGGAUGGAUUUUCUUCGUAGGUAAACACCCUUAAAAUGGUGAGGAAAGAAAAAACUCUCUCACAACUAUUGUAGUCACCACUUAUAGAGAUGGAAGAGAUUUGAUUUUAAAUGAGAAAGAAACCCUUAAUCGAAGGGUUGAAAGUUGAUCUUAAAAAUAGGUUGGUUGGAUCAAUCUGCCUCUACACUUAGAUCAAUCCAAAAACAGGGGAACAAAAGCCUUGUGCUAAUAAUAUUUCUCCUUGUUUUCUUAACUCAUUUAAAGAUGAAAAAACAGGGUUGAUUCAUAUUCAAUCACCACACUCGACUAUAUACCUCAGCCUCUUAGCAAAGUUUUAAUCUUCAAAGGUCAAGUAGUCCGAAGAGGGAUUUGUAAACUGAGUUAGGGGACACUUAGGAAUUUUGUUUGAAAUUACCAACCUAGCUAAACACUCACAAUCUCCUCCUUUGGCAAUUCUGGGACAAAACUCUUUACAAUACGAAUGAGUACAAGUAAGUAAGUCCCACCCAACUCUCAUACAAGGCCACACACUCACUCAAAACCUCACCAAAGGUGCUACAAAUCCUAUAAAUAAAUCUCAAGAAAAAACUUUAGGAGCACUUGCACAUAUUACCAAGACACUUCCAUAAGUUUCGAAUGAAUUGAUACACAAAUAUCCACAUAUAUCCACAAAAUCACAUGUCUAAAGAUAGUUAAUAUGCAUUCAUGAGUUCAAAAACGUGUCAAAUAUCCAUCGAUAUACAAAAAGGGUGAUCAUGAUCAACAUAUCAAAUAUCCAAAGCAACAAAACACAAAGAAACCGUCAUGAUCAACUACAUGUCAUAUCAACAUCCAUGUAAAAUGUAAAAUGUUUCCUAAUUUUUGUCCCAGUAGGAGACAAAAGGUCAUAAUCUCCCAUUUUCUAUCUUAGAAAAAAGACAAAUGAAUGAGAAUUCAAUAGCAUAAUAUCUCACAUCCAAAUCAACAAACAUCCACUUUUCAACAAAAUGUCAAAUACCCAAAAAUCAAAUAUUCACAUAUUACCAAGUAUCCAUAUCAACAUUUCAGAAAAAAAAAAUUAUAGGAUACAAUAAUCUCCUCUUGACUCCCAUCACAAGAUAUAAGAAUCUCUCCCUGAAUCCUAUCACAUGGUUUCAAUUAAAAACUUUCAAAAAAUAUGCUUUAUCACCAUGAAAAUAGAUUUCAAGCAUGAAAAUUUAUGGAAACCACUCAAAAUGAACAACCAAAGCCUAGGAUUAGCAUUCCUAGAAACUAGGAACACUCCAAGGCAAAAAUGAAAUCUCAAACUAUUAAAACUAUUGUGAGAAGACUCCACACACAAAAAAUAAAUAAAUAAAAUCCAAAUGAGACUAAGGGCUGAUUGGAAUUUCCAGAAGUGUAGAUUGUGUUGUGUUGAUUGUGCUGUGAAAAACAUAGUCCUAAGGGUUGAUUGGAAUUUCCAACUGCUGGAACGGAAUCCCAACUACACAAGAUACAAUCUAGUGACGCACAUUGGAGGUCCUAGCCAACACAUACUAUGUAGAAGGCAAUUUCUGACAACACCGACGCACUAAGAAGAGACACACAGACCGACGACAUGAGUUGGACAACACAACAAUUCUAGGCUAUUCGACGAGGCUGUUUGGUGGGAUUGGCUAGACUUGAAACGCUCACCAGAUAGGGAAGUCUGACUAUAAAGGUUUCCAAUGGUAGAGACUUAUGACGGUAGUGGUCGGAAUGAUGAACCGACGAUGAUGGCUAAAGAGAAGCAUAGAGUAGAGAAGUUUCCUUCUUUAGAACAAAAGACCUAGGGCUUUUGAAAGAAAUGAAUUGGGAAAAACUGAUUUAGGGAUUUUGACUUUUUUACUUUUAGUUACGAAAAUACCUCUCAUCCAUUAAACCAUAUGAGCAUAACUAGUUGGGGGCAAAAAUGGAAAUUUUCACAAAUGCAUAAGUGGUAUCGAUUUUAGUGGAUUGAUCUAGCUUUCGAUUGUGCUCUCGAUGAUACACAGUCACAUAGGUUUGAACAUACCAAAUUUGAAAAAAAUGGUUAAGUGUGUGAGAGACAAGUACUAGGUGGUAUCGACCUUGGUGGAUCGAUCUAAGAUUCAUUCAAGGGCUCUCGAUCACUACAUUGUGCACACAAUGGAUCGAUCCACAAAUUCAAUAGAUCGAUCGACACCUAAUUGAAAAAUGACUUAGGCAAAAACUAUUGAAAAAUCACAAGAAAUACACCAAUAGGCUUUCCAAAAACUGAAAAUUGAUUGACCAAAGAUGAGAUACAAUAGGAUGGCAUACUUAUAUUUCAAUUAAUGAGUUAGAGUUGAUUCACAUUGAACAAAAAUGCUUCCAAGAACUUAACAAUGGACAAAAUUAAUAAACAUAGAGAUUGAAGUACUUUCCAAAUUUAUCAAAUGAAUAGGUAAAAAACAAAUGAUUAUCAACACUCUAACAAGGAAGCUUAAGCUAAAAAAAAAAACUCACUCAUGACACCAUAAAACGGUGAAAAUGUUAAAUAAUUUCCACUUAUAAACCUAUAUUCAUUUAUGAGCCAAAAAUCAUUUUCAAGAUACUCUUCCUUUCUAGAGAAAUUCAAGAUAAUGUUCCAAGAAGUCAAUUUGCAUCUCUCUUGGCUAGAUUUCUGUUUAACAUGACCUAAUCACAUCCCUUUAAUAAAAUUCAUACACUAUUUGCUUUUCAUAUUUAGCAUUGAAAGGAAUACAAAGCUAUAAGUUUUACCUUAAAGAUCAGUUUUUGACUUGAGGAUCUCUAAGGACGCCUUUACAACAUAACAACAUAAGAGAUGUCCCACUUUUGCAAGGGAGGCUUUUUAAUUCUUGAAACACUGCCAAAGAGCCAUAUCCAUUCCGGGAAACUUCAUAUUUUCUUUUUCUUUUCUUUUUCAUUUUUUUUAAAAAUUUAAUUUCAAAGAGAGGACAAACAAUCAAAGAUUGAUAUUCUCAACCUCUCAAGGAUAUUCCAGGUGUCUUUACUCACUCUUUAAUGCUCAUUAAAUGGGUAUAAGUUUACAUUUAGACUUUAAAGAGCAUUAUUCACCAUUUAUGCAAACACAAGGUCUAACAAUGAGCUUUUUCUCACUUAAUAGAAAUGAAGCUAAUCAUUUGUAGUUUAUCUAACCAAAUCAAAAUAGCAAGGAUUCAAUAUCAUGUUUAUCAAACAAGCCAUGGAGAUAAAGACAUCUUGAAGCUUUUAAGAUCAUGAUGAGUUAAUUUAACUUUUAAACAAAAUGAAUAAGCAUGUCACUCUCAUGAACUCAACAAUUGUUGAAAAUUUAUGAAAAAUGGAGAAAAGAUUGAACCAAAACAAAAAGAACAUCAAGUUGAUGAUAUUUGGGAACUUAGGAAGACAACUAGGACUCAAGAAUAUGCAAGAGGAGUCCUAGACAAGUUUUAGAGGCAAUUAAAUAGAGAGUAUAUAAACCUAUGGGGCUCCUAAGUGAUUCAAACCUAGAAAUGUCCAAAGGUUUAGUAACAUUGUUAGCAAUUUGACUUUCUAUAGGGAAAAACUCUAGUGAAACAACCUUGUCUUCUACCAAGUCUUGAAUGCAGUGAUGCUUAAUGUCCACAUGUUUUUAUCUAGAAUGAAGAACACGGUUCUUUAACCUAUCAAUAACAUUGGCAUCAUCAAAUUCCUCCCCAUCAAUCUUAACUUUUACAAUGGGAUGCUCUUUUUCAUUUUGCAACAAUCUAUGUUGUAGCAAGUGAUUAACACAUACAAUUUUAGAACUUCCACACACAAGAGAAGAGGAUGAAGGAGAUUUUUUACUAACAACAUAGCACUUAUCACAAAUUCUCAAGCCCAUCAUCACACAUACAUCAUUCAAGUUAAACACCUUGCAAAAAUUUUGUGAAAAUUUUACAUUGAACUCAUUCCCACACAUUUGGCUUAUUCUAACUAAGUUAGCCUUUAAACCUUCAUAUAAGACCUCUUCAAGAUUAGGAAUUUCGGGGGCACAAAUGGUACCUUUGUCUUUCACCCUAGCCACAUUACCAUAUCUAAAUGUCACAUUUCCUCCAUCAAAUUCAGUGAAUGAAGUGAACAAAGAUUUAUUUCCAGUCAUAUGAUGUGAGCAUCUACUAUCAAGAUUCCAUGAGUGUGACUCACUAGCUCUAAGUACGUUAUGGACAACAAAACACUUCAACUCAUUCAUUUACACCCAAAUUUGUUUAAUAUUUGAGACUUGUCUUUUCAUUCAAAGUGCUUCCUUUCAACUCACCAUUAUGAGGGAUCUUUGACCACUUCUUGGACACUCUCUUAUUCUCAUUCAAUAACCUAUUCUUCAAAGUAUAACAUUCAUUCAUUAGGUUGGUAAAUUUCUUUUGAAAAUUAUCAGACAAUCUUGCAUAACAUCUAUAAAAAAUGUGUCCCAUUUUGCCACAAUGAUUGCAAUGAAACUUGAUUUGAGAAUGAGUUUUCUUAGGAGAUUAUUUUUCACAAGGCUUAACAAAAAUUGUUUUACCACUACUUGGAGUAGUAUUUGCAUCAACAAAUCCUAAGCCUUGUUUAUCAAAAAAUUUACACCCUAAAUUGAUCAACUCAUUAAGUCUCUUAGAGCUAGGAUGUGACUCUUCCUUCUUAAGACUUAACCCAUCCUUGAACAUUUGAUUCACUUUUCAAUACAUAAUAUUUUUUCUUCACUUCCAAAUGUUCAUUUUCAAGAAAUCCAAUUUUGUCAAGCAAAACCUUAUUUUCUCCCUUCAAGACAUCAAUCUCAUUGAUUAGAAUAUUCUUAGAAGCCUUCCACUUGACUUGUUCUUGUUUAAGGCUCAAGCACUCCUUAUACAAAGUCUCAUAUGCCGUGUCAAAACUCAUGUCAUCAUCAUUGGAGUCACUUGACUCAUGACUCACUUAUCACUUAAGACCUCUUUCUUGAGUGGUUUCUCAUUGACACUUGCAACAAAGGCUAUGAAGUUAGUGCAUUUUUCACUUCCAUUGGAUUCUUUUUCACUUGAUUGACAAGAUUCUAUGUUGCUUCAAGUGACUUGCAUGACCUUCUUUCCUUUUUUUCUUUGAGGGACAUUUGGCGGCAUAAUGUCCAUUUCCUCUACAUUUAAAGCACUCAAUCUCCAACUCUUUUUUCACACAUUUCUCCAUAUCCUUCUUUUUUUUCUAAUAGAGUUCCUCCAUUUUUACCAUCAUUUGAUUCUUUCUUGGAUUUUAUGAAUUUCAUGUACUUCUUAAUUUUUUUAGUAAACUUAGUAAGCACACCAUUUGAUAUUUUCUCAUCAUCCUCACUUUCGGAACUUAGGGACUCUUCUUUAAUAGUUUUUAAAGCAAUUCCCUUAGCUUUCCUAGGUGAUACAAGCGUCAUCUCAAAGGUUUGGAGGGAACCUACAAGUUCAUCUAUCUUCAAGGAAUCCACAUCCUUAGACUCUUCAAUGGUGGUAACCUUAGCUCUAAAUCUCUCUCGAAGAGAUCUUAAAAUUUUUCUAACCACCUUAGUGUUAGAGACGGAUUCACCUAGAUUGAAGUUAGAAUUCACUAUAUCCAUCAAUUUUGCAUGAAAUUCUCCAAAAGUUUCAUGGUCAUCCAUCCUAAUGGUCUCAAACCUAGAUGUCAACAUUUGAAGCCUGGACAUUUUUACGACAUUAGUUCCUUCAUGAGUCACUUGGAGGAUAUCCUAAGCCUUCUUUAACCAAAGUGCAUGUGGCAAUCCUAUGAAAUUCAUUCGUACUAAUGGCAUUGAAGAUGGAGUACAUGGCUCUAGCUUUAUUCUCACUUGCUUCAUUUUCACUUCUAUCACAUUCCAAUUUUGGCUUGAUAACAUUUGUUAGUUUACCUUCUCUAUCUAACACCUUAGGUGGAGACUAACCAAAUUCAAUGACAUUCCAAACUUUUUCACUUUGCAUUUUGAGAAAAUAUUGCAUUCUCACUUUCCAAUGAGAAUAAUUUUCACCAGUUAAGAAUGGUGGUCUCCUAAUGGAAGAUCUCUCUUAAUGAGGUUCCAUGAUUGAGAUUUAAGGACCGAAAAUGAUUUUUUCUUUAAAAACCCUCUCUGAUACCAAUUGAAAAGGUGAAUCUCAAUAGUGGAAUACACCUAAAUGGGGGUUGAAUAGGUGUUUUGACCAAUUUAUCAAAAUCUCAACUCAAAUUNNNNNNNNNNNNNNNNNNNNNNNNNNNNNNNNNNNNNNNNNNNNNNNNNNNNNNNNNNNNNNNNNNNNNNNNNNNNNNNNNNNNNNNNNNNNNNNNNNNNAAAAAAUGCACACUCUCUCACAAAGAAUGUAAAUUUUUCAAAAAAAAAAAAAAAAAAAAAACUUUCUUUUAUGGGGGGGCGCGGUGCUAUACAUUCUUAUAUAGGUAUAUAUAUAAAAAUAUAGAGACCUCACAGAGAAUGUGAGGGGUUCCUGUUCCUUGUGGGUCACUUCUAAAUCCUACACACACCCCUAAGAAACACACACACACUUUUUUUAUGGUGAACCACGACAAUAUACAUCCUUAUUUGGAUCUCUCUAUAAACAUAUAGAAGUGUGGGAGUGUGUGAGGCUCUCCCUUAUUUGAGUGGGCGUUUCUAAAACCUAUAUACAAAUUUUUUUACAUAUAGAAAUAUGAGAGGUACACGUCUAUUAUCUUUUCAUACCAUAUCUAUAUCACUCACUCUCUCUCUCACGUUUGUUUUGUGUGUAUAUAUAUAUAUAUAUAUAUAUAUAUAUAUAUAUAUAUAUAUAUAUAUAUAUAUAUAUAUAUAUAUAUAUAUAUAUAUAUAUAUAUAUAUAAAGUAUAUCCUUUUUAGGUUGUGCCUUUGAAUUAUUCCACUUNNNNNNNNNNNNNNNNNNNNNNNNNNNNNNNNNNNNNNNNNNNNNNNNNNNNNNNNNNNNNNNNNNNNNNNNNNNNNNNNNNNNNNNNNNNNNNNNNNNNCAAAGAUGAUUCAUAGUCAUUUCUCUUCAUCAUUCAAUCAAAUAGUAGACAAUCAAAAUUAUAAUAAAUUCUUGAAACUGAAAACUGAUGCUAAGAAGAGAAAGAGAGACAAUGAGACACCAUAAAUUUACAUGAAAAAUCUCCGAAGAGAUAAAAAACCAUGGGCCUAUUACUGAUUGAAAACAUCCACUAUGAAAAAUAAAAUCUGAAUACAAGGUUUUACCUACCUCAAGCCAACCAAUCUUUCCCAAACCACUUGACUAGUACCUUUACUUUCAGCUUCUCACCUUCUUCUUUCGAGGCACACUUGGAGUUUGUACCAAGCUCAAUCUCGACCUCUUCUUGAAUUCAUACAAGAACAAAAUGGGUUUUUGCACAAAACUGAGAGAAUGAGAGAUGAAUGUUUCAGAAAUCAACCCAUGUUCGUUUUUAGAAAAUCCAUUUUUUUAAAAAAAUUAUUGGAAAACUUGGACGGAUUUUCUUCAUAGGUAAACACCCUCCAAAUGGUGAGGAAAGAAAAAACUCUCUCACGGCUACUACAGUCACCACUUCCAGAAAUGAGGGAGAUUUGAUUUUAAAUGAGAGUGAAACCUUAAUCCAAAGGUUGAAAAUCGAUCUAAAAAACAUGUUAGUUGGAUCAAUUUACCCCUAUACCUAGAUUGAUCCAAAAACAGGGGAACAAAAGCCUUGCACCAACAAUAUUUCUCUCAGUUUUCUUUACUCAUUUAAAGAUGAAAAAUAGGGUUGAUUCACAUUCAAUCACCACACACUCAACCACAUACCUUGACCUCUUAGCAAGUCUUAAUCUUCAAAGGUCAAGUAGUUCGAAGAGGGAUUGGUAAACCAAGUUAGGGAACACUUAGGAAUUUUUUUCGGAAUUUCCAACCUAGCUAAACACUCACAGGUUCAUUUUUUUAGAAACAUAUAACACCUUAAGAAAAAUAUGUACAUUUGAUUUCAACUUAACAUGACAGAGUCACACUCAUUUGGGUCUAAGAUUUGACUUAUGUAUGCUACAAAAUGUAAUUAAGAGCUUCCCAAACCUCAUUUGACAUGGUGGAACCCUACCUAAGGUACAUCUUUUACAAAAAUACAUACAUUCUUAACAAAUAUAUAUAUAUAUAUAUAUUUUGAAGAAAAAUACUUACAUUUUUUUCAAGCGAACUGUGUGUUGGCGUCGUAGAUCUAAGGAACGGAAACAAUACGAAUUUAUUUAUUUAUUUUUUUAAAUUGAUCUUUAGGGUUAAAGUGCUAACCUUUAGGUUUGGAUGUUUCAGACCUUAAAUUCCAAGUGUUGAAGAUGACAUUGAAGUUGUUGGAAGUCUCGUAAACCCAUGGUCUUUUGCUUGAUGACUCAACUUUAUUCUUGGCACAUUUUUGAUAGGAAGGAAAGAAAGGUGGAGGCUAGAGCUCUCUUUAUCUCUAAAUGGUGGAAGGAAAAAGUGAUGAAGACUCUAACCCCUAGGGGGUAUUUAUAGGGUUCCUAACUAAGCUUAAGUGACUUGAGCCCACAUGGGCUUGGGUAACUUAAUUUAGGCCAAAAUGGAUCCUAAUUGAUUAAUUAACCCAAUAGGGCCUACUAAUUAAUUAAUUAGCUCAAUCUAGAGACUUUGUUCACUUAUCCUUGUGCAAUCUUGUAUAAUUACCAAAACACCCUUAUGCACAAAAGUAAACCUAUAGUCAAUUCGACCCUCAUAACUAUGCCAAAAAGAUAUAUAAGCUCAGAGCGGGGACCACUAGGAUCCAUAAGAGUACUAACUCCCUCAGGAUCCAAUUAUGAAGUUGAUUCAACAUCUUAUUACAAAGAAUCAACCAAACUCCAAUAUUCUAUGUAAAUAACAACAAGACACUACGUGCUCGGGUCUAUGACCUAGUAUCCAUUGUGUUCAGUCUUCCCAUGAACUGGUGUUUUAGUCUAACAAGGUGAAAGCUAUCAACCUUUCAAGACUCUCUACCAUCCUUGUGUUACAAAUCCUCCUAUUGUAUAUUCAAUUGACAUGUCUUAGCUUUCAAAGAGCUUAUGUCAAGUUCUACUUAAGGAACUAUUAUGACCAUAGUUUCCAUGAACACAUCCCCUUAAGAUCACCCAAGGGGACACAUUGUCUCAAUCCCAUGAGAUAUCAUGGUGUCUAUUGAGAAUGCCUAUUGUUACCGACUUCCAUUAACAGUGACCCAAUCCAUAGGGAAUAUAUGAUCAACUUACGAUCUCACCCAUAGGUAAAAGUCAUUGCUAAUUUUAGUACAAUCUCAAUAUUCUCUCAAGGUUGAGAGAUAACACAAUGAAGUAUCUUGGUGAGGUCAUGACUACUUGAUAGUCUUAAGUCAUGACUCAUCAUAGGUCUUGUCCAACGUGUAAUCAUACACAGUAGUGUACUCACCAUGGGAAACCCAUCCCAAUAACGAAGACCAACCAUCCCUCCAAUUAGGAGGUGGUGCACUACAACCUCUAAUGGGUUGCCUAGACCCAUAAACCGGUUGUGAACAAGUCAAUUAUUUGCAAGGAACCCAUGACUUAAAGAUCUUCUAUGCAACUCCUAAUGCACCUAAGUCAUGUACAAUGCAAAAUAUGUUGACAAGACUUCUCAUAAAAUAUAAUACAUGGAAUAAAGAUAGAUAAAAGUGAAAUGGGAACAUCAUUAAAUAAAUAAGGAAUUUCAAAUUUAAUACACCAUGUUAUGCUUUUAAGAGCUCUAUCUUAAGACUAUAAUCCUAUUUGACCUUAUUUAGGUCUAGGUAUUCACUUAUGGAAGCCUGAGAAUGAAUUAAAGGUCUUUCCUUACCUUGUUAGGCUUUUCUAAACCAUAAGAACAUCCUUAAGAAAAAAUACAUAUAUUUUUAUGGAAAACAUGUACGUUCUUAAAAAAACAAAAUAUGUGCGUUUUUUUUAAAGGAGAUUGUGACCUUAUUUUGCCUUAUUUAGGUUUUAAUAUUAACUUAUGGAAGCCUUGUAAUAAUUUUGAGGCUUCCCAUUCCUCGUUGGUCAUUUUUAAAGUCUACGUACAUCUUUAAGAAAAAUAUGCACAUUCUUAAACAAAGUAUGUAAAUUCUUCAAAAAAAAAAAAAAAAAAAACCUUUUCUUUUAAGGUGGACCAUGGUUCUAUUCAUUCUUAUUUAGGUCUAAAUAUUAAAUUAUAGAAGCCUCAUAAUGAAUUUGAGGUCUUCCUGUUCCUUGUAGGUCAUUUCUAAAUCCUACAUACAUCCUUAAGAAACAUACAUGCAAUUUUUUUAAGGUGAACCAUGACAAUAUACAUCCUUAUUAGGAUCUCAAUAUUAACAUAUGGAAGUGUUGGAAUGUUUGAGGCUUUCCCUUAUUUGAUUGGGCAUUUCUAAAACCUAUGUACAAUUUUUUUAACAUAUGGAAAUAUGAUAGGUACAUGACUAGUAUCUUUUCAUACCAUAUCUAUAGCAUUCAUUCUUACUAUCAUGUUUGUUUUGUGAUUAUAUAUAUAUAUAUAUAUAUAUAUAUAUAUAUAUAUAUAUAUAUAUAUAUAUAUAUAUAUAUAUAUAUAUAUAUAUAUAUAUAUAUAUAUAUAUAUANNNNNNNNNNNNNNNNNNNNNNNNNNNNNNNNNNNNNNNNNNNNNNNNNNNNNNNNNNNNNNNNNNNNNNNNNNNNNNNNNNNNNNNNNNNNNNNNNNNNUCAAAAAAAAAAAAAAAAAAAACCCUUUCUUUUAAGGGGGGGCACGGGUCUAUUCACUCUUAUUUAGGUGUAAAUAUAAAAAUAUAGACGCCUCACAAAGAAUGUGAGGUCUCCCCGUUCCCUGUGGGUCACUUCUAAAUCCCACACACACCCCUAAGAGACACACACGCACUUUUUUUAAGGGGAGCCACGACACUAUACACCCCUAUUUGGGUCUCUCUAUUUACAUAUGGAGGUGUGGGAGUGUGUGAGGCUCUCCCCCAUUUGAGUGGGCGCUUCUAAAACCCAUGUACACUUUUUUUAACACAUGGAAAUAUGAGAGGGACACGUCUAGUGUCUUUUCUCACCCUAUCUAUAGCACUCUCUCUCUCUCUCACGUGUGUUUUGUGUGUAUAUAUAUAUAUAUAUAUAUAUAUAUAUAUAUAUAUAUAUAUAUAUAUAUAUAUAUAUAUAUAUAUAUAUAUAUAUAUAUAUAUAUAUAUAGAUAUAUCCUUUUUAGGUUGUGCCUUUGAAUUAUUCCACUUCUAAUGGUUUGAAUUGUUUUUUCUAUUCUAAUGACUAUAAUUACCAUGGUACCAAGAAUUAUGUUUACCACGACCAUGAUUGUGUCCUUAGCCUUGUUCACGUCCAAGUCCAACUCAAUGUCUAGGAGCUUGGACGGAUGUGACAGUUGCUUCUAGCAAUGACACAUACCUAAUAGUAUGAGGUUGAUGAUUCUUCGGUAGAAGUUCAUUAUUUUGUUUAGCCAUAAGAAGACAUUAAACUAAUUCAAAAUAUUUAGUGAAAUGAUGUUCUUGAUAUCGUUGCCAUAGGAGUACAUUCGAGGCAUGAAAAAUGGUGUUCAUUAUUCUUUAAUGAUUUUUUCUCCAUAUAAAUUGUGAACAACUUUUGAAUAAAGUCGAGUUGUGGUCAUUGACAGACUUGAAAUUUUGUAAUCUCAAGUGCAUCUAAUCAUGAUGUGCUUUUGGAAGGAUUACAAUCUCGUGGUGGCCAUAUCAUUAUGUUAUAUUAUUCCAAAGGAUCAAAGUAUCAUUCCAUUAGAUUAUUUCAAAGGAUGAAAAUUCUUUGAUUGUAAGGAAUUCACCUUUUAUUCCUUCAUCAAUGUGAUAAUGAAGGAAUAUUAAUGCUCUAGUACGAUCUUGUGAGGAUGCCUCAUUUUAUUUUUUAAUGGUCUUUUCAAGAUUCAUAUUGUUUAGGUGAAUUUUAGCAUCUAGAAUCCAUAUAAAUAGUUUGCCUGAAAUAGGGAGUGUAACAAACUCAAACUUGGUAAGAUUUGACAUUAUUUGAAAACUAUAUUUGAAAUAAUUUAAUUGGAAUAAUAUUUCAAUUUACCAAAAUGAAUUAUAAAUAAAUGAAUAAAAUUAUCUAACAAUAUUUUAUCAGGUUAAUAUUCAUUAAUAAAAACAUAACGAUUUAAGAUUUUGUUAUAUUUUAUCUCUAAAGGAUUAUUAUAACUAUGGUAAAAAAAAUGCAUGAACAUCAUGUAGUAUUAACAAAAUAAAAAUUACGAAUUGAUAGCUUACAUAGCUUUUGGCUAUGGAUUAUUUUUAUCAUAACAAAAAUGUGUAAAUUUGUAUAUAUCUUUAGGCUAUGAAAUAUUCAUUAUUUAACUUCUAACUAUACAAUUUUGUUUUGUGUAACAUUUGGUUAUAUCAUUAUAAUUAAAAGAAAUUAGAAAUUACGUGUAAGUCAUUCUUUAUAUUUUUAUAACUUUAUAAUUUCUCAUAUAACCUUUGGCUAUACAAUUGUACAUAUUUUACAUAUUUUUUUAUAACUUCUAGUUGUGAUUUUUUUUCAUAAUUUUUGUCUAUAAAAAAAAUAUUUUCAAGUUUCUUCAUCGAAAAAAGGAUAAAUUAAAUAGAAAAUAAUACAAAAGUAGAAGUUUAUCACAUACCUUUUAGAGGAGAAAAAAGAUAUUUUAUGAGAAUAAGUUUGUCCUUUUAGUGUUUGAAUCUUAUACAAAAACUUAUAAUAAGAGUUUUCUUUUGGAGAGACUAGAAUUAGAGAAGAGAUAGAGUUCUAAAAUAACUUUGAGGUAUCCAUUUCAUUGACCCAAGUUUCCUAUUUAUAAGAGUUUGAAAAAACUAGGAUUAAUUAUAAUAUUUAAUUCUUUAUGGGGAAAAAGUAAAAAAUAAAAAAGGCUUUUAAUCAUUAAUUAAGAGUACUUGCUUAAAUACAAAAUUUCACAAAAAUUUAAACUAAAUUCCUUUAAAAAAGAAUAGAUAACUUGUUUUAAAAAAUAGUUAAACUAUGUUAAUUUUAUAUAAUUUGAGUGAGAAAUAAAUUUAUUAUAAAUUGACAAAGUUGUCAUUCACAAAAAGCAUCAAAUAUAUUUGAUUUUUUUUUUCAUUUUCAUUUUUCAUUUUUUUAAGGAAAAAUCAGAUUUAAAUUUUUUUCAUAAAUUGAUAGCUAAAAGAUAAAUUUACAAAAUUUCAAAUCCCCACAUGUUUCCAUUAUUUUUACCCCAUAAAUUAUCCCAUCCUUAAUAAGAUUGAAUUUUGCAAAUUAUUAUUGAUUACUCAUUCAAAAAUAAAAAUAAAUUACACUAAAAAUCAUAAAAUUUAAAUUAGAAAAAUAUUUAAUAUAAAUUUUAAAAAUUCAGCUUUAUAAAAAAUAAAAAUAAUUAUCAAUUCUAAUAAGAUUUUUUUAAUCAAAAUUCUAAAGCAUAAUUCACAUUCAUCUAAAUAUUUAUUAGAAUUAAUAAUUUUUAAAAAUAUAAAUUAAAAUUUGAUACCCCUUCGGAGAUAAAAUUCCAAAAAUCAAUGAAUUAAUUUAGAAAAGAAUACAUAUUUCAAUCUCAAAUCUUCAAAUCUAAACAUAUACUAACUUAGAAAAGUUCUAAUAGUUUCUAACAAGUCUAAGUGGGUAUUUGGUAAAUCAAUUUAAUAACUUAAUUCAAGUUAUUAAAUAAAUUAAAUAUAGUUGGUAAAAUAAUUUAAUGGUAUGACUUAAAGUAAAAAACAACUUUAAGUAAUAAGUAAAAAUAAUUAAUUUAUUCUUAAAUUCAUGUUUUCAUUUUAUCUUUUUACCCUCAUUUAUCUUAGUUCCACGAUUUAUUUUGCUAUUAUACAACUUCCAUCAUUACUUGAUCUCAUUUACCCUCAUUAUAAUUUAUGGGGGUAAGUAUAUUAAUUUGAUGAUUUAGAAUAAAUUUUAAAUUAAUUUUAUUAAAAAAUCUUAAUAUUUAAAGUAAAAAUUAAGUAAUAAGUUUUAAGUCAAUAACUUCAAUAUAAUUUUACUUAAAAUCAACUUAAGUCAUUGAGUAAUAAUUAUUGAGUUUUACCAAACACCCCAUAAUUAUACUUAUUAUCAUACUACCAAUUUCUUAUCAAUUACAUAAUUAUUUAUUAUAAAAUUUUAAUAUGUUAAUGAAUUAUGAUAUUUAAAUAUUUAAAAAUAUGUUGAUUGCAAACUAAUUUAACAAGAAAUAAAAUAAUAUUAUUUUGUAAAUAUUUUUGUAAUGUAAAAGAUAAGUAAUUUAAUAUUUUUUAACAUUUACUAAUAAUUAAAAUAUAAAAAAUUUAAAUAUUUAACAAUACUUAAUUUAUUCAAAUUUAAAACAAAUUUAGAUCUUAGAUAAAAAUACAAUCACCACUGAAAUUUUAAAUAUUUAAAAUACACAUAAAGUUUAAAUAUUUAUUUAAUUUCAGGAAUCUAAGAACUAAGGAAGGGACCAAUAGUGACUUGUCGAUCUAAAAGUAUGCAAGUUCUAUUUUCUUUUCCCUACAAUAUCAUUUUUUUCCUUGCAACAUCAUUUUUGUGGUGGAAAUUAUGCGGAGGACCAGUGUACUUAAUUGACAGGGCUGGCGAAAGCGAUGACGUGGAAUGAUCAAAGCAAUGAGAUGUCGUGGAAGCAACCAACUAUCGGGACGCUUCUAUAUUUUACCAUGCCAUAACAAAAGUUUCCAUAAUUCGCAAGUUCUGGAGAGAUACGAAACCGAGAUAGAAUAUAAUUUAGAAAGGAAAAUGAAAAUGAAAGCUGAGAUAAGGAAUGAGCAUCACCACCUCCUAGAAGUAUCCAAGGGUUUAACCCACUCUCUGAAAUUUGCUAUAAAUACUCAGCAAUUUCCCGUGUUGUUCAUCAAUACUUAAAAGAGUUUGAAUUUAUCAAUCACAUUAGUAGCAAUGGCAGACGAGAUUAUCGUGUUGGAUUUCCGGCCUAGCAUGUUUGGUAUGAGGGUCAGAGUUGCCCUGGCAGAGAAGGGUCUCAAGUAUGAAUAUAGAGAGGAGGACCUGUGGAACAAGAGCCCUUUGCUUCUUGAGAUGAACCCAGUUCAUAAGAAAAUCCCAGUUCUGAUCCACAAUGGAAAGCCCAUUUGUGAGUCUCUGAUAAUAGUUCAGUGUAUUGAUGAGGUUUGGUACGAUAAAUCUCUGCUUUUGCCCAGUGACCCAUACUAGAGAGCUCAGGCCAGGUUCUGGGCGGACUACAUAGACAAGAAGGUAUGCCUUUGCUGUUGAUUUAAAGCAUUCUUUUCCAUUGAUUCAUGGCGAUUGACUCAGAUUUUGAUUAUGGUGAGGGAUUUGUCCAAAAUGCUGGGUUUCUUCACACGUUCCCUUCUGAUAUUGAGUUUUGUGGGCUUUGGGGUUCCAAACUAGAACUUUUACUGAUUCUCCUUGCUGUUUGUUCAACAAGACUAUACUCUGCAUUUCUGAUAUGGGUUUAAAUUUCUUGUUUAUGUUGAAUACGAAUUCUGUUCGUUCCAUCAGGAAAAACAGAUCUCAAGAAUACCUUUUUUCCCCAAGCAAGGCGAAUACAUAAACCAGAUAUUUAAAGAAAGGUGUUUGGUUUUUUGUUAUCUUGCUGUUCAACAUCUUGCACAACAGUUGUUUUAAUAUAUGUUCUGUUUCUUUGAUCUCUUUCUUCUCAUUUUCUGAAACCCAAUUUGAGGGGAAAAACUUCAGCAAAUGAUACAUUCUUUCAGCUGAUUCUGAUCUUUUUUCUUCCACCGGCACUUCAUUUUAUUCUUAGCAAAUGAUAUUUCUAUGCGGAAGAGUCCUUAAUAAACUUGUCCAACUUUACAGAAUUUGAAACUUGAUGAAAUUCUCCAAAAAAAAUAAUCCUUCUCUCUUUGACUCCAUUAUUUUCCACAGCUCUAUGAACUUGGAAGGAAGAUAUGGUCAACCAAAGGAGAAGAGCAGGAAACAGCCAAGAAGGAAUUCAUAGAGUGCCUUAAGCUUUUGGAAGGAGAGCUUGGAGAGAAGCCUUACUUCGGUGGUGAAAAAAUUGGGUUUGUAGAUGUGGCUCUGGUGACCUUCUCUUGCUGGUUUUAUGCAUACGAGACCUUUGGCAACUUCAGCAUAGAGGCGGAGUGCCCCAAGUUGAUCGCUUGGACCAAGAGGUGCAUGGAAAGGGAGAGCGUGUCGUCUUCUCUUGCAGACCCCCACAAGGUCCAUGGCUUUGUCGUGGUGUUGAGAAAGAAGUUUGGUAUAGAGUAGAAGGGGCACAUGGGUCCUCUCUCGAAGACCCCGCAAGGUCCAUGACUUUGUCACGUGGAUGAGAAAGAAGUUUGGUAUUGAAUAAAAGGGAAAUAUCACGGUCUAUGCUCUAUUGAGUAGUGUUGUAUUGGUAAUGUAAGAGGAGUGUUUGCUUAAGUUUGCUAAGUGAUAUGGGUUUGCUGAGCUAUGUUGUUGGAAAUAAAUGUUUUGAAUUUGUUUUGGACUAGAGACGUGUUCCUGUAUUAAAGAAAUAAAAGUCUUUGACUACAUUUCCAUCGUGUCCACAUGAACAACUAUUAAGACAAAUUGGUUAAGACAUGCCCUAGAUAGAAAUAGAUAGAAGUGAGUCAUGAAAUGCACAUAUCUAACCUGCUCUUAUUACCAUAUUUUUUUUUUUUUAAAAAAAACUUUGAUAUGAGAAGUCAAAGAGCAUGUCGUUGUUGAUUUUUUUUUCUUUUUCACAAGAAUAUAUAUAUAUCUUCCAUAAAAUUAUCUUCAUGAAAAUUUUCUAUUUUCAAUUUUUUUUCUCUAUUCCAUUUUCUCAUAUUUAUUGAUUUUAAUUAUUUAUAGAUGUUUUAAAUAUAAAAUAAUAAUAUAAAAUAAAUAAUUAAUAAGAAAAAUUUUAAUAUAACAAUAAAUAAAUAAAAUGUUGAAAGUAAUAUUAUGGUAGGAAGGAUGUAUCACUCUUUUUUGGUUUAAACUAAGAUAUGUUACCAUCAUUUAUGUGCUAGAUGUCUUAUUAAUGGUGAAAUAACGUGAAUUCAAAGGGUGUUAAUGUAACAUUGAUCAACACAACCCUUGAAAAAAUGAAUACCACUCUUUUAUAAAUAAAAAACACCACUAAAUUGUAUUAAAAGUAUCAUUGUAGUGUGAAUGUUGUACUAUUCUUCUUUGGUUUAAGGUAUGUUUCCAUUUGUUAUGUGCUCAACGUAUUAGGUAAUGAUGAAAUAACGUGAAAUGAGUGAAUGUUAUUAUGCAACAACACCGAUCAACACAACCCUUAGAAAAAGAGGGUACCACUCAUUUAUGAAAAAUCUACUAUGUUAAAAGUACUACUAUGGUGGGAAGAAUGUAUCACUUGUCUUUAAGUUCUACCAUGGUAGGAAAAAUGUAUCACUCUUCUUUGGUUUACGGCGAGGUUUGUUACUAUUCAUUACAUGCUCAACGUCAUAUGUGAUGAGGAAAUAAUGUGAAUUGAGAUGGUGUUAUUUCACUAUAACACUGAUCAACACAAAUCCUUGGAAAAAAGGGUACUACUCUGUAGACAUAAAAAAAAUUAGUGGAUUAAAUUACCACUAAUUUGGUCUUCAAAAUGAAUAAAAAAAAAAAUAUAUAUCCUCUUAUGGAUAAGUUUCCUUAAUCUCCAACUAUAAAAAGGAUAAUAAUAAUAAUAAUAAGAAAAUUAUUAUUAUUAUUAUUAUUAUUAUUAUCUUGUUGAUAAAACCUCUUGGGAGAAGAAAAUUUGCUAAAAUCAAGGAACUAAAUCCCUUGAAUUAAGCAACUAAACUCCGAGAAUUUGAAAUUCAAAUUCCAUAUCUUCACCUAUAAAUAGAGGUGUCUUCUUUCAAGAAAGGAGAUGAAGAAAUUGAGAAAUAAAAAAAAAAUUCAGAAAGGAAAAUCCUAAGGAGAAAAUCCAAAGGCAAUUUUGUACAGGAAAAAAAGGUUUCAUAACAAAAGAAAAAGUUUCAUCAAAUUUCUCUGCAAGUUUGGUAAAUGGUAGAACUGCUAAACGCAUUCUUUGCCAUUUAACGAGUUCAUUCGGGAAUAAGCCACUUGUGACCCUCGAUUGAUCUUUGAAAUCAAGAAAACGUCAUCGUCGUCUUCCAAAGUGUGAUUAAGGCAAAAGAAUUAGGGGGGAAAAUUAUUUUGGAAAGAAUAUUAUUUUGAGAUUUUACCCACAAUAUUUUCAAUUUUAAUAAAUGUUUUGUUCGCAUUAUUUUCCUAUUUAUUUUGUUAAUUUGGUAGGACCAUUUAUGAAAUUUGUGGGUACAAAUUUCUAGCACGCCCAGCGAGACUUCUUUGCCUCUCGUCUCUUUUUAGAAGAUUGAUCUCUACUUCAUUGAUGACACCCAAAAGAACUCAAGUUGUGCAUGUAAACAAGGGCAAUGACAAGAUCAUCAUUGCACAAUCAACACAUGACGCCGCUAUGGGCCCCAUGACUCAUAGCAAAGCAAAAUCAACAUCUUCACUCUCAACAAAACAAAUAAGUGAGUUUGCUUGUUUGCUAAAAUCGGUAAGAACGUGUGAUGAGCACCAGCCACUCAUCACAUUGGUCUCUCUAGGGGCAAAGAGCCAUAGUCCUCGUAGUAGGGGAAAACUCACUUCAACACUACAGGACUUAGGAUAAAUCUCCUAGCUCUGUUAUCGAUUCUAACUCUAGCACCGGCUCAUACUCCGAGUCGCCAGCUGGAAUGUCAAAGGAGGAAAACUACUCCAAUCGUUUCGACUCUUUUACUUCUCCCUUCUCGAUGACUAUGCUGGUAAUGGCAACUGGCACUACAUUUGUAGAGGAACAAUUAGUAGAGAUGGCUCAUGGCAUCGCCAAACUCACCAAAAUGGUUGAGGAGAAGGAUAUGCAAAUAGCCUCCCUCAUAAAUAAGGUUGAGGCACAAGUACAAAAUAUGGGUGAGUCAAGUCAAGGACUCAACCACUUUCUGAAUGUUGCAUCUCUUCUCGAUGAUGCACCACAUGCGUAUAGGACAAUCCAAGUUGAGAGACAAAUGGCGGAAUCUGCCUCAAUGGCAUCAUUAUCUAUCCAACAACUUCAGUACAUGAUAACUAACACCAUUAGAGUGCAGUACAGUGGACCCUUACAGAGUACGCUCAUGUACUCAAAACGUUACACUAAGAGGAUUGAUAACCUACGUAUGCCUGUGGGUUAUCAACCUCCAAAAUUUCAAUCAUUUGCAAAAUUUCAAUCAUUUGAUUGGAAGGGAAAUCCAAAACAAUAUAUUGCCCAUUUCAUUGAAACUUGUAACAAUGCAGGUACAGAUGGUGACUUAUUAGUUAAACAAUUCGUCCGUUUUAUUCGAAGGAAUGCUUUCGAUUGGUACAUAGACCUUACACUUAAGUGUAUCGAUAAUUGAGACCAAAUGGAAUGUGAAUUCCUCAAUAGUUUCUAUAACACCCGACGAACUGUAAGCAUGAUGGAACUUACUAACACUAAGCAAUGGAAAGACAAGCCGAUUAUAAACUAUAUCAAUUAUUGACAUUCCUUAAGCCUUGACUACAAAGAUAGAUUAUCUGAGGUAUUGACCAUGGAAAUGUGCAUACAAGGAAUGCAUUGGGGUCUCCUAUACAUUCUCUAAGGGAUACAACCUCAUACAUUUGAAGAAUUAGCUACCAAAGCACAUGACAUAGAGCUCAACAUAGACAACCAUGGUUCUAAGAAGGACCUUACCAUUGAUCGAUAAAGAGAAAGACAUGAUGGGAAAAUGAGUGACAAGACCUCAAAGAAACCUAUUCAGGAGUCAAUGACAAUAAAUAUAACUCUUGUCAAAAUCUCAGCAAGAGAUAAAAAAAAGGAAGUAAAAGAGGUCAGACUAACCCAGGAAAAUAAGAUGUGUCAAUUCAUCUUGAAGGAAUUAGAGGAGAAGAAGUAUCCUUUUCCUGACUUUGAUGUGCCUAACAUGUUGGAAGACUUGCUCCAAAAAAAGGUUAUUAAGUUACUUGAGUGUAAGCAUCCAAAAAGAAUGGGUCGUGUUAAUGAUCCAAUCUACUAUCAUUACCAUCGAAUUGUUAGUCAUCCUAUGGAGAAAUGUUUCAUUUUAAAAGAUCUCAUAAUGAAACUUGCAAAGCAAAGAAGAAUUCAUUUAGAUCUGGAUGAAGUAGUAGAGUCAAAUCAUGCUAUAGUCACAUUUGAGUCAUUUGAUCCUGUUCCAUUACAUGUUCCACUUAAGAAACUAGGGACAUGUGGCAAUACUAUUCAAUGUGAGUCACCAAAACCAAAGCAAACAUAAGUGUCAUGUUAGGAUAGCCUUCUUCGCCUUUGCUCUGAUAAUAAAUCAAUGUCAUAUGACGAAGAAGGUUGGAUAUUGGUGACACGAAGAAGACUUUGCAAGAAGCAAGGGUCGCAUUCAUACCCUAACCUUCUUAGGAGGGAAUGACAUGAGUGGAAUACUCACCAACAUUUAAAGAAGAAAGAAAAAAAGAAUCUUAAAAGAAAACAAGCGAUUGUACAAAUAGACGACUUUUUGGUCCAGAAACUCAUCACCCCUAUCACCCUAGAGAAAUACUUCCCUCUAGGGUUCUUUGAUAAAAGGGUGGCAGUAUCAACUCAUAUGGUCUCUUGCUAAGAGACUUCAAAAGAAGAGGGGUUAAGUGAAGAUGAGGAAAACAUUCUUGGUGUUGAGUCAAGAAAAACUAAGGAAGAAGAGGGGGUUGUAGCAAGCCUACAACACCUACUCUCACUAUUUAGUAGCCACGAAAUGCUACAACUACCUAAUGAGAUACAAAAUGUGUUGAUUCAAGUACUUAAGGAUCCAACACUCUAUGCCACCAAAAUAAAGGGGGCAAAAAGACUUGAGGAUGAAAGCCACAAUUGUGCCAAAUGUUGUGCAGCCAUCAUUUUUACUAACGAAGACCUUCAGUUAGGGUCAAAACCACAUAAUCGACCCCUGUUUGUUACUAGGUACAUACGGGAACAAAAUAUCACUUGCAUUUUAAUUGAUGAAGGGUUUGGAAUAAAUAUCAUGCCUAAAGCAACAAUGAAAUGACUCAGGAUUGCUACAAAAGAACUAACUCAGAGUCGCCUAAUGAUCUAAGGCUUUAAUCAAGGGGGACAACGAGCUAUUGGUAUGAUUCACCUAGAGCUUGUUACAGGUGAAUUGAGUUCGAACACAUUGUUUCAUGUAAUCAUUGCAAAACAUUUUACAACUUAUUACUCGAGCGACCAUGACUUCAUGAGAAUGGGGUAAUUCUUUCGACACUAUACUAGUGUUUCAAAUUCUAUAGAGGAGGGGUAAAGGUAGUAUAGACUGAUACUAAGCCAUUUACAGAAGUCGAGUCUUAUUUUGUUGAUGCUAAAUUUUACAUAGAAAAUGAUGUUAUGCAGGAAGUCCUUCUUGCGAUUAUUCUCUCCACUGGGAAUGCUAAACUUAAGGAAAAAGUUGAGCUAUGUAAGUUGACAUCAGCAGGGAAAUUUCAUAACAAAUGAUGACUCAAAUAAAAAAAAAAGAGAAAUUUUCAAAAAAAUUGACAUUGGACUUGACAAUUCUCACUACUUUCCUAGUUUUUAGGUACAUCCCAAUAUCUCGACGAAGUGAGGGUCAACCAUUUUUCAUAGAAGACAAAAACAAAGUACAACCCUGAGGAUUGGAAAAUGGGGACCUUUAAGUCUUGAAAGAAGAUACGACCAUUCCUCUUCCAAACUUACAACUUAUCUCUAGGGAUGAAACACAAAAAUCCAACAAAACCUCAAGAGAUCAAACAAAGCAAGAAUUCUUUCCUGGUAAAAGAAUAAAUGAGGAGUUCAACCCUAAGACUUACAAGUUAUUAGCCAAGGCAAGGUAUUACUUCACUUCGUCAUCACGAUUAGGAGAACUUAGCCUCGAGACUACAGGUGAAAAGAUGCAUGACUUUAACGAAACUCAAAAAAAGUUGAAACAACAAGGGUAUGCAGUCAAACCUUCUAGUGCAGGUUUAGGGUUUGUACCUUUUGAGCCUAUCAAAAUUUUAGUUAAGACUAAGAAGACUAAGGCAAGUACACAACAUAUCAUUGUAGAAGACAUGGAGGAGAGUAGUGGGUCUAACUCUCCUUCUCGAAUUUCAAUAUUUGAUCGGAUUGAAGCUCUAAUUACAUGAGCUUCAGUGUUCACUAGGUUGGGCGAUUUUAACCAAGUAUAAUGUAAUUUAGCACAUAUUCCACAAAGGUCAAUACAACGAAGGAUUAAUACUCUACCCAAAAGUCACGACGACAAAAUCCCAAUAAGAAGUAGUGUAGUGAACUAAAUAAGAAUGCAAAAAUAAGAAGUUUAAUCCCAUCAAGGAUGAAACACCAUUCAACUUGGGAAAUUUGUACUAAUGGCUAGUUAAAAUUAAAAUGACAUACCAUCGUGAUCACCAAGCAGUCGGACGAGGGAUGCCCUAAAGAUGUUAAAUAAAGUUUGACACACAGUAACUACCAUAUUACAGUAGAAGUUGACUCUAAUUCAGAGUUUUUAGAAGAUGAACUAUGAGAAGCUCCUCAAGUAUUUGAGGACGGGGGGCAGGCCACUGUAGAUGAGUUAAAAGAGCUCAAUUUAGGUACAAAUGAGGACCCAAGGCCAAUUUAUGUAAGUAUGCUUUUAAGUCCUUCUGAAGAGAAAAGUUAUUUUGAAUUGUUACUCAAUUAUAAAGAUGUCUUUGCAUGGUCGUACAAAGAAAUGUCAGGUCUUGAUCCAAAAGUUGUAGUACAUUAACUCACGGUGAAACAUGGUGUCCGAUUGAUUAAGCAAGCCCAAAGACGAUUUUGACCAGAACUUGUUUCGCAAAUAGAAACGAAAAUUUUCAAAUUGAUUGAAGUUGGUUUUAUUAAGGAGGUAAAGUACCCGACAUGGAUUGCGAACAUUGUUCCAGUGAAGAAAAAGAAUGGGUAGAUCCGUGUCUGUGUAAAUUUUAGAGAUUUAAACAAUGCUUGCCCAAAAGAUGACUUCCCAUUACUAAUUAUUAAGCUUAUGGUUGAUGCAACUACAGGUCAUGGAACUUUAUCCUUCAUGGAUGGAUCAUUGGGGUAUAACCAAAUACAAAUGGUGCCAGGGGAUGAAGAACUUACUGCAUUUUGUACUCUAAAGGGUAUUUACUGUUACAAAGUGAUGCCUUUAAGACUAAAUAAUGCAGAUGCAACGUAUCAACAUGCCAUGCAGAAAAUAUUUGAUGACAUGCUUCAUAAGAAUGUCGAGUGCUAUGUUGAUGAACUGGUGGUCAAGUCUAAGAAGAGAGAAGACCACCUGCAAGAUCUUCGUAUGGUGUUUGACAGGUUAAGAAGGUACCAACUUAUGAACCUACUCAAAUGUGCUUUUGGUGUUACUUCUAGUAAGUUUCUAUUUUAUUGUUCGACACCGUGGCAUUGAAGUGGAUCAAUCUAAGAUCGCAACCAUUCGAGCUAUGCCAGAGCUGAGGAAUCUUUAAGAACUUAGAAGUCUUCAAGGACGUCUUACUUUUAUUCGACGAUUUAUUUCAAAUCUUGUAGGACGAUGUCAAUCCUUCAACCAACUUAUGAAGAAAGAUGUCCCAUUUGUUUGGGACAAAGCUUGUCAUAAUCCCUUUGAGAGAAUAAAAAAGUAUUUGGCUAAUCCACCAAUCUUAGGUGCUCUUAUGGCAGGGAAGCCAUUGAUACUCUACAUUGCCGCACAAAAAUGCUCUCUUGGAGCAUUGUUUGCACAACAAAACGAGGAGAACAAAGAAAAUACAUUGUAUUACUUAAGUCAAACUCUAAUGGGAUCAGAACUAAAUUACUCCCUAAUAGAGAAAACUUGUCUUGCUUUAAUCUUCUCGACAAAAAAGCUAAUACAUUACAUGCAGGCAUACACAGUACACUUAAUAGCACACGUUGAUCCCAUUAAGUAUGUGCUAUCAAAGCCAGUUAUUUCAAGACGAUUAGCAAGAUGGGGGUUGUUACUCACUGAGUAUGAAAUAAUCUACAUUCCUUAAAAGGUAAUCAAAGGACAACGCAGACUUCUUGGCAGAUCAUCCUAUCCUUGCAACAUGAAAAAUUUUAGAUGACUUCCCCGAUGAGGAGAUCUUUUAUGUUGAUGUUUUUCCUUCGUGAAUGAUGUUCAGGUCAGCACGUUAUGAUGGAACAGGUGCAGAUGUUGUAUUUGUCUCACAACAAAGAUAGAUACUACCAUAUUCAUUUGUUCUUAGUGAGAGAUGCUCUAACAACGUUGCUAAAUACCAAGCCUUAAUUAUUGAACUACAAAUAGCGAUUGAAAUGAAAAUCACAAGCUUAGAGAUAUGUGGGGAUUCUAAGUUGGUAAUCAAUCAACUUCUAGCCUUGUAUAAGGUUAAAAGUGAUGACUUAGUUCCUUACUUCCAAUAUGCUACCCAACUGAUGGAAAAGUUUGAGCGAACCUCUUUAGUUCAUAUUCCAUGAAAGAAAACUAAAUGGCAGAUGCUCUAGCUAAUCUAGUUGCAAGUUUGACACUGCUUAAGGACGAGACUAUACACAUCACUCUUUGCCAUAAGUGGGUACUGCCGCCAUUGCCACUAUUACAACAAGAAGAAGUAAACGCUACAUCGGUAUUUACUAUUGACAACGAAGAUUGGCGACAACCAUUAAUUGACUACUUAGAGCAUGUGAAGUUACUUGAUGAACUAAGGCAUUGAACAUAAAUACGACAUUGAGCUCCAUACUUCAUUUACUACAAAGAAACACUUUAUCGAUGCUCAUUCCAUGGAGUACUUCUUCGAUGCCUAGAAGGAGAAGAGACAAAUCAAGCAAUUGAAGAAGCUCAUUCUGAGAUCUAUAGGGCUCACCAAUCAGGGCCAAAACUUCAUUUUCGAAUCAAAAGGAUGGGAUACUAUUGGCCAACUAUGGUUAAGGAUUGUAUGGAAUAUGAAAAGAAGUGUCAAUCAUGCCAAUUCCACUCAAAUUUUAUACACAACCCCUUGAGCCACUCCAUCCUACAAUUGCGUCAUUGUAGACCCUCAAUUUUGUCCCUUUAGCACAUGUCUUUAAGUUCGUUUUCAGUGCUUCAAAAUAGUUCCUUGGUGGCCCAUGGCUACUCAUACCACUUACCUUUUUCUGAGUCACCUCGGAGAUUUUGGUGGAGGAAUUAUUUGAUCCUUUAUUGUGACCCUUGGCAGCCCUAACUUAGACUUAGACUUUUCUUGUUUUUUUUUUUUUUUUUUUAGGAUAGCUUUUAGAUACAUUUGGCCCAUUUGGACAUUUUUAGCGUGACUUGUAUGACUUGCAUGGUUACAUGGCUUUUGGGCUCGACUUUUUGUUUAUUGGUUUAUUUUUAUUUUAUUUCAUUUUAUUUAUUUUUACCGUUUCCUAAUUUAUUUACUUGCUUAUUUAUUCAUUCAAUGAUUUAACUUCAAGAUUUUCAUGUUUUUGCAAGGAAACUUACCAUUGGAGUUUAAGGAAGGUGGGACUCUCCUUGGAAGGUUUUGGAGGGGAAUUUGAAAUUGAGAAGAUUGCUUUUGAUUGGAAGAUUUAAAAAAAGGAAGAAAAGAAGAAAGGAAAUAGGAGAAUUUUCCUUUUUGGAAAGAAAUUUAGGUCUUGAGGGGUGAUAUAUAUAGGUGAGAAAAGGAAAAGAGGGGGAAGGAUUUUUUUUGGGGGUAGAGCACGCGUUGGAGGAUUGGGAGGAGAUUUGAGGAGGUUCUUUUUGGAGCAGCAGGCAUUGGAGGAAAAUUUGUCGGGGAAAAGAACAGAGGAAACGAAAAGAGCAAUUGCAACCAAGGCUGUCCAGGUAUGCACCUCGUUGCUUUUGGAAUUCUGACCUAUGUUUGAUUUUUUUCCACGUGAAUAUUUAAUGGUAUUGUUGAUUUUGUGUGGACGAAAGGGGCCACAAUUUGUUUUGUUGAGAUUGGUUGCUUGCUUGUUUGCCUUGUUUUGGUUUUGAUUGUCAUUGAUGUCUUCGGAAGCAUAUAACUCCAUGCCUGAAUGUGAUCAGAUUCUGUUCUUCAUUUAAAUCAUAUUCUGCAUUUGUCUCUCUGUUUUUAGCCCAUGGAUUAAUAUCUGAAGUGGGGGCUAUCCAUGUUUACUGAUCAACACCUUCUGCCAUUUCCUUCUCCAAGUUUUACUUCAAUUUUUUUUAUCUUUUAUCUGUAUUCUUUUCCUCGCAUGGUGUUCGAACCCUUGCUCUUGUAUUUGGGUAUACGUCGAGGAAUGAUGUAAGUGUCAAUAUGAGGGAUGAACUGUGCAACAAUCCCACUCAAAAAUAAUUGAUUCCGAGGUAUUGUAAUGGAUUGUGGAGACUGGAGGUAACGUCUUAUUGGCAUCAGAUUUGACCUUUCUAAUCCUAUGGGAUUCAAUGGCUCGUACAGAAUCGCAACUCCGGUGUUAUUUGCAAGCAUAGCUAAAUGGGUUAAAGCCAAGCUAAUAUUUUCUCUUGCUUCCGAAUGAUCGCGUUAUCAUUGGCCAACAUCACUUCUACCCUUUCCAAUUUUCCAAGCGCUUCUGACCGUAAGAAUAAUGGUCUCAGAGAAAGCAAUUUGACUUGUAAAACAGAGGGUUUCAGAGAGUGUCAGGAAGGUGAUUGAUUUGGGUAGCACUGAAAAAGGAUGGUUUGAACUAGGGUUUUGAAUCACGCCUUGAGUUAUUAGAGCAGUACGAAGAAUUGCGGGAUACCAGUGAUGGAUUGAUGGGUUCGGUGCCGAUUCUGGGUCGUAUUACAGAUUUGGGGCAGAGACGAUUGGUGAUGGCAAUGGGAUUAAUGCAAAUCAGGGAGAUGCUAUUUUUGAGGAAACGUAGUUCACGGGUUUUAGGAAUGUAGUUUCAGAAUUUUCAGAGAUUCUUGAUGUAUUGUGUUAGAAUAUUCUGAAACAGUUUCAGUAUACCGAAGGAUCCAAUACGGGCUUAGCAAUUACUAUAAGGAACAGAAAGAAGGAAAUUGAUGCGACUUCUGCGAACAAGUAAGUUCCAGAUACUUCGGUUGGAAGAACCUUCUCAAUAAGGUGAUCAAUCAGAGGAGGUAUCUUGCACAGUAGACCUUUCUGAUUCUUUAUGUUAUCAACUUGAUCUUGUCUCUUUUGUCGCAUAUGUCAAUUCUGCUCAUUUAUGGAAUUCAAAAUCCUCAUUGUUGUUGCCUGAAAAAGAAAUUACGGCAAUUGGAGAAGACAAUCAGUCUGACCCUUUUUGUUGAAAAUUUUGUUUUGGAAAGAUUUUCUAUUUAAACCUCCCUGCGGGUACUAUUCGAUGAAGUCUUUGGUAAUAAAUUUCAGGAUGCUAUUGAAUUGAUAAGUAUGUAGCCAGUUGCUUCUAAUUUAGCAGCCUGGAAGAGAAUGCGAGUUGUUGAAUUCAUGCACAUGCGAUAUGCUCUGGAAUCUGUGGUGCUUGCAGUUGGAGCUAUGGAAAGAAGUACAUCUUAUCAUCUACUAUUGGUGAGAGAUAUAUUGUUCUUGCAAUGAAGCACCCUGCUGUCUUCUUAGAUAGCAGGUACAUUGACAAUGGGGAUAAGGAUAAGAAGACUUAUACGUCUUCUUAGAAUAUGGAGGAUUCACUCAAUACAAAAGUCACUCUUUUCGUCUCUGGAAUUGAGAAACCACAGUUUAGAGGAUGGAAUUAAAGUUUUUAUGCCCCAAGUUGCAGUAGCAGUUCUGGUAAUACUCAAACUCAGAGCAUCACGGGGUAUGACAGGAUGGCUGGAAUGGUGAUUGGAAGGCUCCUGGCGUCCAGAGAUUCCCUAAGUAGCAGUGGAAGUUUACUACUGGUGUAGCCAUGAUUGAAGUUACAGCUCCAUGUGUAUAUGCUAUCAAAAGAAGAAGGAUACGAGACUCUGAUUUUCCAUACCACUGGAAUGGGUGGAAGGGCUAUGGAGGAUCUGAUCAGAAGGGGAUUUAUACGAUGUGUUCUGGACAUAACAACAACAGAGGUUGCUGAUUAUGUAGUUGGAGGUGUUAUGGCUUGUGACAAUUCCCACCUUGACGUCAUGAAGAUAAGAAAUUUGUCGGCUUUGUAGCAAACGAACUAAACGAAACAGCAUCAAAGGUAAUGUUGACCCGAAUGAUUAGGCUCAUAUUCAGAAAGACAGAAUUUGAUCCAGACUCGAUUUCCUCUGGUUCUGCUACAAAUAAAGAAGUUGAAUUUCUGGACUGCACAAGGACCUUUUAGUUCUGAUUUUUCUUUAGGUGCCAAUCUUACCACAAUGGAAGAUGUCCAGAAUAGUUUUAAUGCAACGCAACUUAGGCUUUGUGGAAGGUUAAGCAAUGUUGAUGGCUAUAUAAUGCCGAUCAUCUUCCCAAGUGUUAUUCUCUGUGGCUGAGUUGUUUUCUGAAGCUGAAACAUAAAGACCCUCUCAAUAAGGCCGCCUCUAUGAAUCUUGCUCAGCAUGCACUGAUCAGCAAUUUCUGGUGAGAUCUCAGCCAGUUCCAGCUGAUAAGCAGGUGAACCAGGCAGGAAGGACCAAUUGGCAAACACUCUUGGGCUUUCCUGGUGGGCAUGAAACCCAGAAUUGCAAUGGGGUAGUUCAGAAUCUGAAUCUAGUUCGACUUGGAGGUCUGAGUCAGACAUUAUAUAAUUAGGAUGGCAAAGAAGACUCCUUACCUACAGCGGCCCAAAUUUAUUAAGUCGUCCUUUGACACUAAAGAGAUCACCGGUUUGCCCUUGAUAAAUUAAUGUCAUCAUGAGCAGAUUUUGUUCCUAUUCUUUAGCUGAGAAUCAAAUGCAUCACACCAUCGAACAGUUGAAAUCUUUGAGUAGGAGCAGAGAAUGAUGCAGAACAGAGAAAACAAUGACCCAGGUCCAACAGGUCUCAUGAGGUUUGAUGGUGAGAUCCGUUCAGCAAUGUUGGGAAGCAACUGGAAAUAUGGGCCUCAUGCUGCUGCAACUCACUUAGACUACAUGGUUGAGUUUACAGUCACUGUGCCAAUUUUGAGUCUUGCUGGAACAAUGGAUAACUUACCAGCUGGUGAACCAUGGCUGCAGAAACUAAAAGCGGAUUGAGCAGGAUGCAACUACUCUCAUUCCAGGAAACAAAGAACUGAAACCACACGAGUAGGACCCUUUGAACAAAAAUGCUGGUAUCAAUACACAUCCUACGUGCCCAUCUAUUAUUCAAUCCAAUUCUGAAGUCCCAGUCAUGUCACCUAGAAAAAGCAAAGGAGAAAUUCAAAGGGAACCCUUGGGCUUGAAAGGAAAGGUUCUUAGUCUUGGAAAGGUUCAGAAAAGCCGGAAGGUGUAGAAAGAAUUCAAGCAGCCACAGAAGGCUUCCUCCAAGCUGAUAGUACCACCUAGCACAGGUUUCGGUACCUUAACCUAUGGAUAUAGUUUGCUCUUGAGAGCGUUCCAUACAUUCGAAACGGCAUCAAUAAGUCACUACUUUUGGAUCAGCACUUGGAACUGGAUCUUAGUACUGUCAUGCUUGGCUGUUGCUUUUGGUUUUAGAAACAUGAACUGCUUAGGUAACGCAUCUGGCUUGGCAGUUAUAAUUAUAAUGUCAGUCACCACCUGCCUAAUGUCUCUGGUUGCUGUACUGUGCCGACACCAGAAUGUCUCCUCUAUAAUUGGCUCCAUGUUCUUCAUUGGCGUAAUUGAAGCUUUCUAUUUCUCAGCAUGGAUCUCUAAGCCACUCCUGAGCAUGCGUGUAAGAAUGGAUAGCAGGGCAGAUUUUCAGGUUCCUGGUCAGAGUGGAAUAAUGGGACAGCCAAAUGAAGACGAAUUCCCCAUGAACUUCCAAAAAUAGACUUAAUGAUAAGAAGAGAGGUGAAAAAGAAUUCAGUGGCUAUUCGAGAUGACUUUUAUGGAUGAAUUCGGUAGAGAAUUGAAAAGAAUUCAAGUGGUUGCAUAUGUGGGUGAGAUUCAAUAGCGUUAACGGAUACUCUUGAUGGCUGAAAUUUAAAAGAAAUGAUAGACUACAUAAGUGAGGUGAUUGAAUUUUAUAAAUAUGAUUAUGGGUUUUGAAUUACAUCGAGAUCAGCACUUGUUGAGAUUAUCAUAUUUAUGCUGGUAACAUUGCAAUCAUAUACGUUUUCAUCCCAAGAGUUUGAUCAUGCGUCAAAAUAUCUAGAAGCAGAGCAAAUUGAAACCUUUUCAAAAUCAGCAGUGGACAGAUUCUGUCCUAAAACACUUGAAGUUGGAGCAUACUGAGGCAGUUUAGUCUUCUGAAAUCCAUACCUAGUUUCCUGAUGAUUCAAGUUCUUUAUUUGACUUUUCCUUUAUAGAGAAAGCUCCUAGUGGCAUUGACCAGCCAGGAAUUCACCAUAUGCUUCAUCAACAAUAAUGUGCAAUUCAGGAAAAACGAGGUUGGAUGGUCAGAAGAAGACUUUGAAACUAGUUCAGGAUCUCAAUCUAGUGAAUCUGAUUUCUCCAGUUUCAGUCCAGAUGAGCUUCUGCAGUUAAUUGGUGAUGCAUCAGUUAUGGGAAAGGUCCUUCAUCAACUAGCACUUCACCUUUAUAAGAAUCCAUCAUGAUUCUCAGCACUUGCUGUUGUCUAUUUUCUGACAUGUAUUAAGCAAAGAUUGGUCUGAAGAGAGAUAAUACAUCCUCUAUCUAGUACACAGAUUCAGACGCUGAAUUCCGUGAUUAUGUUAGUGAGGUCACGAGGGAAGUGUGUAGGCAUCACUAUGCAAAGUGCCUUGAAGUUGUAUCAAUUCGUUUGCUGGAUAAUCGCCCACAAAUUAGCAAAAAUCAUCUUUCAAAAUAUAUGAAGUAUCCUACGUUUAUAGGAGAGCAAUUGAUCAUUCAACACCAAAUUGUUAUCUUCAGGGAAAUGUUGAUAUGAUUGGAGGUGCAAUAGCAUUGACUUGAGAUAGUCAACAGUAUGUGAUCACAGAGUUAGGAUAUUACAACAAGAAGAGUCCAAUGGGCUUAAAUCUUUUUGACAGAAAUUCUCAUCUAUCUUGGACUUUAAGCUAGCGUCUGAUGAAAAACAUCAGAAUCUUCACCCUAUUCUAUGAUAGAUGCAUGCAUUGCAGUAUGCUCGAGAUCAUUGUAGGCCUUUAUCCGAGAAGAAACAGAAUAGAGUGAACCAGGUGUUGAAUAAAGCCCGUGAUGAUGCUGAAAGUAGUGCCUAGAAGAACUCGUUAGAAAGUAACAAAGGCAAUGUCCUCUUUCCUCUCCUCUGAUGUGCCUUCUCCUGUUUGGAGUAUACCAAUAAUUCGGAAACUGCACUCUUUAUCUGUGACUUUACUUGAUGGAAACAAAGGGCAAGAUGGGAAGCCUCACAAGGAAGAGAAGCCUCAAAGUCUAUAUGAGAAUUUAGAAGAUUCUUUUGCCACAAAGGCAGCAGAAGAAAUAUGCUUGCAACAGAAAGAACUUAGGGUAUUUGAAAUUUCUGGAUUGGUGCUGCUCAAUGAGAAUAUACAGAAAAUCAAUCCAAAUGAACCACUAAAAGAAGAAUGCACUACUCUAGGUGAAGUAUCAUGGUUAGAGAAUCACAGAAACGCGUCUGCAAUAAAACGCUCAGAUUCUCCAAUAGAAAGUGACAGAACCAUGAAGCUGCCAGUAGAGGUGCCUGAGGGAGCUGAGGAACCUGCAGAAGAGUAUGAAAACAACAAAGAACUGAUCAUAGAGAAAGAGAGAGACAUCAAGGAAUUUCCAGCCGUGUCCAUUGAAGUUGAAUAGGUUAAAUAGGAACGGCAUUCUGAGACAAUACUCGCUGAAAAUCCUAGAAUGACAGAUUCUGAAGUGCAGACUAAAAAUGUGAACCUAUAGGAUUGUGGAAGACUUCAGCAAAGACUCUAAAAGAUUUCCCAUCACAAAAGCAAUGGAAGCAGAGAUGCUACAGAAACAGAGUGGUAAAAGGAAAGUGGAUGUCUCUGGUUCGGUAUCUGAAAUAUCAAAAGAAAUUAAUAAGGAGGUCAUAGAAGAUGCCAGCACUUGCUCUAACAAUAUUGAUGCUGCAUCCGAAGAGGGGAAAACAGAAGAGUCAAGCUUGUAGGAAACUCAACUGAAUGACAAAUACAAAAAGAUCAUUAAGACUAGCUCAGAAGAUAAGACACUAUAAGCAAAUACCACAAAUGAAACUAGUCCACAGGCUGAAGAGGUUGACAGCAUGAAGCUUGAAGAAACUUUUGAAUUGAUGUCUCAACUUCCAGUUAAGGCAUGUGAGAACACAAACAAGGAGAGUGAAACAGUGGAAAGGUCGAUUGAUAAUGUGCUGAAGAAACCGAUUAAAUCUUCUGGUAUAGUAUCAGAAUCCCAAGAACAAUGUGCUGAAGAAACUGAUUAGACCCUUAAGCUCUUCUCUAGCAGGGUCUUUGAUAUCAAAUGCCUGUCAGAACCCCCAUUCAGUAAACUGCUUCAAUUUGAGCUCAGGAAUCCAAGGAAGACACGGAUAAGGGAAAGUUGAUUACGCCAGAAUCUGUAUUUCUCAAGAGCAACUCAAGUUUACUGGAACUCUUCACCCUUCAUUGGAAUUCAAUAAAACUUUGAACAACAGAGAGCCACAGAAAAGUACUAAAGGAGGGCAGAAUGUAUUUUGGGAUUCAACAUCAGCAGGAUAGUCUCAAAUCUUAUUCCCAGGCUCCACUCCAUCAUGGCAACCUUGCUAUACACACCCUCUCCUCUAUUUACUUUUGUGAUUGGGAACUUACUAUUUUAAGUUGAAUUUUUGAACCAUUGUUCAACUAAACAUUCCCAGCUUUGAAAAAUCCAUCUUAGGAGCAUCUAGGUAUAAAAUCCCAAUUUUAACAUGCUAUUUGCUGCCAUUUUCCUCCGGGCAUGCACUUUCACUAUUUUAUCCGAUUUUUAACUAUUUUCAUGAUUUUCUCGAUUUUCUCAAGCAUGAACAAACUUCAUGAUUCCAAACAAUGGAAUUAAUAGAAUAAAUUCAUGCAAAAGUAAUCAGGGCAUUGGGGGGAGGCCCGACAUUCAUAAUAUUCUCUUCAAUAGUGUCUUGUUUGAUAUUUGAUUGAUUGUGCUUCCUCUUUGUGGUAUAUAUGAGAUUAUUUUGAAUUAGUUGUUGAGUUAAUUUUGUUUCCCAUAGAGGAUUAUUAACUCGCUAAUCAGGUACGCUCUUUCUACCACCACACUUUCCAAAAUUUCAUGAAUAUGAGACAUAACCAUAUUUGAUGCCAUAAUUGAUUGCUUUGAUGCUUGUUGGAUCGUCUUUGAUGAAAAUACAUAUUAUGUGUCAUAUUUCCAAACUAAUCUCUCAUGUUUUGUGAUAGUGUUUGAGAAGCCGUUCAGGUACGCACUUCGACUCUCUCUUAUGGUUGGUUUUCUUAUUAGGCAUGCAAUAUUUGAAAUCACCUAGCCUACUCAGGUAUCCAUAAUUAACUGAUUAAUGGCCACGCUUCCCUUAACUUAGUCAGUAGAGACCUCUUUAGGGCUUAGAGGGGUGCUACCUCCUAGAGGUACCUUCCCAAUAAGUAACCUGAUCCCCGAACCAAGACUUGGGUUUUCAAAGACACGCUUUUCCAAAAAUUAUGGAGUCAUUUUUUUAGGGUUUUAUUUCUUGUUUUAUUUUCCCUUCAAAAAUAAAAAUAAAAUAAGUGGCGACUCCAACUUUUUCAAAAAUCAAUUUUUCACAAUAAAAAGCGAGUCUCGUCGAUCGAGUGGGGACGCACGUGAAAAAUGCGGGUCCACAGUCAUGGCCAUUUGAUGCAUGGGGACUUGACGUGGUCAGACCCAUUACUCUUAAAUCCUUUGUUGGACAUGCUUACAUAUUGCAGCAACAUAUUAUUUUUCUAAAUGGGCAAAAGUUGUUCCACUUAAAGAAGUGAAUAAAGAAAAUGUAGUGAACUUCAUUCGAAGUAAUAUUAUCUAUCGGUAUAGGGUACCAUGAUAUAUAAUCACUGACAAUGGGAAACCCUUCUAUAGCAAAUUGAUGAUCAAUCUUUGUGAGAGGUUUAGUUUCAAACAACACAAUUCAUCAAUGUACAAUGCACCGACCAAUGGUCUCACAGAAGCAUUCAACAAGACUCUUUGCAACUUAUUGAAGAAAAUUGUUGAUAAUUCAAAGAGGGAUUGACAUGAAUGAGUAGGAGAAGCACUUUAGGCAUAUCAAACAACAUAUCGAACGCCUACACAAGCAACCCUUUAUUCCCUUGUUUAUGGUGUAGAAGUUGUAUUGCCCCUUGAGCGUCAGAUCCUUUCAUUAAGGAUUUCUAUACAUGAAGGACUAACUAAUGAAGAUAAUGCCAAGUUACAUCUUCAAGAGUUAGAAGCACUAGACGAAAAGUGACUCGAAGCCCAACAACACUUAGAGUAUUAUCAAGCACACCUUUCAAAAGCUUUAAAAAAAAAAGGUUUGUCUUCGGUCUUUUCAAGUCGGUGAUCUAGUUCUUGCCAUUCGUAGACCCAUUAUCACCACACAUAAGACUAGGAGUAAAUUUACAUCAAAAUGGGAUGGACCUUAUGUGGUGCAAGAAGUCUACACCAAUGGUGCUUAUAAGAUCGUCACUGAAGACGGAUUAAGAAUUGGCCCUAUCAAUGGAAAAUUCUUAAAGCGUUAUUAUGCUUGAGUCACACUACACCCUUAGCUUGCAUGAGCAUAAAUUAUGUCUGGAGCACCAAAAAAAAAAUAAAAAAAUCCGCUAAGUCGAAAACCUAAAAGGACGCCUUAGGUAAAAAUUAGGACAUAUGCUCACAAGAUUAAAAUUUUCUUUUAGCCUUGGCAAAAGUUAGAGCAUGAAAAAAAAAGGUGCUGCAUUUGACUUGAUCCUCUCUCUUUGAAAGGUAUGUAAGCAACUUGGGGAAACCACCUAAGUUCACUCACUACCAAAAAAAAAAAAAAAGGUCUCAUUUUUAUUAAUAAAUAAAUCUGACUAACAAAUGCUAGACUUUAUUACAUCUUAAUAAAAAAAAAUGAAUGAAAGCAAAAAAAAAAAGGGAGCCAAAACUAAGUAAAAAGGUACAAUGAUCACAUCCACACCAAGCAUGCAAGCUCGUCACGUUGAGUCCUUAAGGCUUCUUGAAGUGUCUCUAAAGUUUUGACAUCAACAUCAGUAAGCACAAGGGUUUGGGCGAUAAUGACAUGUUAUUUCCUCAAACGAGAAACAUCAUUAUGUUUAUUGGCUAUAAUCUCAUCAAUCUCCAAGAUUAAGUUAUGAAUGUGCUCUUUUUGUUUACCUAGUUGCUUAAAUUCCUUCUUAAGUGCUUCCUAUUUAGCAUCGAGAGUAGCUAAGUCUACCUUUAAUGAUUGACGAUGGUUUUCCUAUAUACACUUAGAGUUUAAAGCAUCCACAAUCUGAGAUGCAAUAAUAGCUAAACGUUCGCUUUGUACUUCUAGAGAUAUAUUUAUAGAAUGGGUGCGUCACAUUGCAUUGAGGUGAUCUACACUUUCCAUGUACUUCUCAAUCUGAGACUUUAAUGGUGAAGGGUUCACUCCAAUCUUUGUGAUAACAUUGAAAAGCUCAUCAAUUUUUCCUCUUAAUAAUGGGAGACAUUUAUUUGGAAAUUUUAAUAAUCAUCACCUUAGUGCCUUCUCCUAUCAUAAGUGCUUCUUGGCGUUAGGCAUUAAGGAUGAUUUGUUUGACGUCGAAUGUGUGAAUGGAAGUAGAAGGAGCAACCACGGUAGGACAUGUAGAUUGUUGUUCAGUAAUUAAACCUAUAAAUGCUAAAAUUGUUAAUUCAUCAUAUGUUGUAUCUCUAAUUGUGGUCUUUUGACCUCGAGAUUCAAUCAGAACAUCACUUAAGAUGUUAGUAAUACCUUUAUCACCCAAAUAAGAAUGAGACAAAGGUAAUGGGAUGAUAGAGUGAUUAUCUUGUUGUAUGGUCAAGGUAAAGGGUGCUGACUCCCUAAUAGCAAUAGUACUUUCGAACUGAUCCUUAGGAGAGGACUCAUCCCCUUCAUUGACAAAUUGGUUGUCACCCGCCACCUAAGGCAAAUAAUUAUUUUUGUUAGUAUCAAUGCAAAAAAAAAAAAAAAAAAACCUUUUCACCAUCAAGUUCCAUCGCUUGAGUAGAAGUUAGGACGUCAGCAAAGAAGACAUUUACAUCAAGAUGAUAAGAGUUAGUCUCAUCAUAGUACAUAGGGUUGGGUCUAAUUUUUUUCCAUUUGAAGUAACAUUCACUUGUAUCUUCAAAGUUUUUGUUUGAUACAUAAAGACCCUGUGCAUUGUUAUGUUGCUUAAAAGUCUUGUGACAGUGAGUAUUACCACCGUUGAAAAUAGUUUCCUCAUGCUCUGAGUGUGUGGAGGUAUUAGUUUGAUGUCCACCCAUUGAGCGCUUAGAAGAAGCUCUUGAAUCAUCAGGUAAAUCAUCAAAAUCCUUCUCAACAUUGUCUCUAAUAUUCCCCUUAGUAGAAACACUUAAGUCAACCUUGCGCGUUCUACUCUCUAAAGAUCUAGAGGGUAUUUGCCAAGAAGAAUUAGGAGGGGGCUCCAUACAAGUAGUAGUAAGAAUUUCUUUAUCAGGAUUACGUACUCUGAUCCACCAAUCCGCAUAAGCCAAUCUGGUAUAGUAACUUUGGAGUAGGUACCAAGCCUAGUACAUGACUGCCAAUGUUGAUACACCGCCUUUAAAGUUCUAGUGUGAAAAAUCUCUAGCGAACUCUCCGGAAGGUCUUGAAGAUAUACAAACUGCCUAGAAAACCGAUGAGGAUAAUACAGUUGGAUUACCCAAUGAUUACCUUGUCGCAAAGAUAAAUAGUUAGAGUGAAGACUUAUGAGAUAAGAAGCUUUGGUAACACUAAUAGAUUCAUUAUCAGUCCAGUGCACAUGCCUCUUGUGGCGCAAUGCCAAGUGGUCUAGCUUUACGCCUUUGCAAGACAUUAUCAAAGCCUAAGCUUGCAAAUCAUCAAAACACUUAACAAAAAACUCGCCAGUGUAAUAAGUCAUCCGUGGGGGAUGGCUCCAAGAAGGAGAAAUGAAAUGGGUAUCGAAAUAUUCAUUUAACCAUCCGUAUAAGUAAUGAAUAGGGAAAAUAGAUGCAUUAGUCCCAGGCUUUGAAGAAUAAGUGAUUUUAUUUAAGCUGUUGUAAAUACUUCCUAACACCAAAACAACAAGGCUAAAUGUCUCACCUUGAGCCAUUUUACUAGCUACCUUGAAGACUUUAGGAUGAAUCAAAUUGACACCUCCCAAGGAAGAACGAACUUGUAUAACCAACAUGCUAAGAAAGCGCCUAAGUAUCCUUCACAUCUGCCUCAGCUAUGCCAAGGUUGUAAAAAAUUUCCAUCUCUGACUGAAUACGAGAUUUAAUAGGAUCAAUUUCCCCAGAGGGGUUAUGAGUCUCCUUAGGCCUUUACGCCUUAUUCCUUGUACUUUUAUUUGGAAGUUUUGCAUACUUCAUGGAGCCUUUAUACCAAAAUGACACCCAAGAGGCUAACUUGACUGAAGACUUCCCUUUCGUGUUAGAGCAAAUUCGAUGAUAUGCAAGGAAUAAGUUUUGACAACUUGGUGGGAGUGAGGGCUUUGUCACAUCAUUAGAUAACUCUUCCAUGCUCGGUACCAUCUCAUCAUAAAAAGAUCCAAUGAUGGGUAGUCCAACAAUAUGAUACAAGUCCCAAAGAGAGAUGGAAACCUCUCUAAUGGAAGUAUGCAAGGUGUUAGUGGUAGGACACCAACGUUCACAAAAGGCCCUAAUCACAGAGGCAUGACAAUCAUAGCUGAAUAAGGACGCAAAAAUAGCUUCAUAAAGCUUACAUCCUUUAAGAAAUGGUCCAUGCCGGUCCAAUACCUCCUCUACCCAUUCCCAAUAUCCUUCGAUAAAGAAAUAUUCCCUUAGUACUUUGAAUGAACUUCCCCAUUUAGCUUCUCCGUCAUGAACACAAGAACCAAACUAUCCAAAUUCAUCAUGAACUUUAGUAGUAGUUGGGUGAGAGGAAUUCAACAACAGAACAUCAGAAACAAGUUUCACCUUAUUGAGUUUUGAAUUGCCGAUAUUUGUAAGCUUGCAAGAUGCAACUCGGGACAAGGAAGAAAUGUGUAAUGGGUCCUUUGUCACUGGUACUGACAAAGAUUGAAGGUCAGUAAGUGACUUAUGCACUGACAAGGUAGUCCCCUCCUCAAAAUCUUCACUAUCAUCCUCAAGAAUAGUUACAAUCUUCUAUUUGAAACAUUUGAAGAACGCCAUCCUACAUAAAAAGGAAAAAGAAGGUAGAGAGAGAGAUAAAUAAAACAUGGGUAUAAGUUUUUAGAUACCACUAUGCAUUUAAGUCAGAUCAAUUCACAUGAGUGAAGACCUUAGCACUUAAGUCAUAUAAAGUGUUGAAAGUACAAUACCGCAUAGCAUCAGGGCCAUAACUUGUUUGCAUAGAUACCGAGUAUUAUUCUAGUUUUAAUUAAAUGUUAAAACUUGAACACAACUAUGCAUUCAAGUCAAGACAAUUUGCAUAGGUGAAGACUUUAGCACAUAAGUGUUGAAAAUACAACACCGCAUAACAUUAGGGCCAUAACUUGUCUACAUAGAUAACAAGUAUUAUUAUGGUUUUAAUUAAAUAUUAAAACUUGAACACCACUAUGCAUUCAAGUCAAUCCAAUUUGCAUGGGUGAAGACUUUAGCACAUAAGUGCUAAAAAUACGACACCGCUUCGCGUCAAGGCUACGAAUUGAUUACAUGAGGGUCAAACUUUAAAUAUUCAUAUGUUUUUUUAUUUUUUAUUUUUAUUUAUUUUUUAUUUUUUAUUUUAUGGAUAUUUAAGUUUAUUAAAAAUUUCCCUCAAGUACUAAGGUAAUUUAAAAAUAAAUAAAUAAAUAAAAUUAAAUUACCUGAAAUCAAAUUCGUCUCUACGAAUAAUGGAGGCUAACAUGUGUUCGAAAAAGGUGAAUCUUUUUCUUCCUUGACAAAAAAAAAAUGAAUAAAAAGAUCACGUGUCAACAUAUAUAUAUAUAUAUCCAUCCAUUUUUUCAGGAGAUCACGUGAAUGGAUUUUAUAUAUAUAUACAUAUAUUAAAUCCUCAUCCUUACAUCAAUAUAUAGAUAUAUAGCCUAGUGAUGACGUCUCCCAAGGCAACCAACAUUGAGGCUCUGUCCCCAUUGACUUCGACAUACACCCACCAAGCUCCAAAAUAUAUAUAUGCAUUUAAAAAAAAAAUACUUACAGGUUUGAAGAGGUGAAGACUUCUUACGGUAAUUCAAGUCAAGUUUCUUAAAAUUGGGUUGAAAAUCACCCAAAAAUUCAAAAAAAAUAAAAGAAUAUGAAAGGAUUCAAGUCGGGUUUCUCAAGUUGGGUCAAAGAACACUCAAAGAUCAAAAAAGCUCUUUGAAAAAGUUCAAGUCAAAUUUCUUAGCUAUUGUCCCUUUUAUAUAUAAAAAAAACGUAUAUGGGGAUGACAAAUUGGAAGAUGAUUGAAAGUGUAAAGUAAGAAGGAAAACAAAUUGGAAGAGGAUUCAAAGUGUAAAGCAAAAAAGGAAAACAAAGUGGAGUUUGGAAAAAAGUGGGAAAGAAAUAUUUUUUUUGGAAAAAAAAAAAACUUCAAGACUCACCCCAUCCACAUGACAAUGCAUAUAUGUGAUGCGUCUUGAAGUGGGGGUAUUUGUAGACAUAAAAAAAAUUAGUGGAUUAAAUUACCACUAAUUUUGUUUUCAAAAUGAAUAAAAAAAAUCCUCUUAUGGAUAAGUUUCUCUAAUCUCCAACUAUAGAAAGGAUAAUAAUAACAAUAAAAAAACUAUUAUUAUUAUUAUUAUUAUUAUUAUUAUUAUUAUUAUUAUCUUGUUGGUAAAACCUUCCAGGAUUUUUUUUUUCUAAAAUCAAGGAACUAAAUCCUUUAAAUUAAGCAACUAAACUCUGAGAAUUUGAAAUUCAAAUUUUAUAUCUUCACCUAUAAAUAGAGGUGUCUUUUUUCAAGAAAGGAGGGGAAGAAAUCGAGAAAAAAAAAUCCAGAAAGGAAAAUCUUAAGGAGGAAAUCCAAAGGAAACUUUGUAUGGGAAAAGGGGCUUCACAACAAAAGAAAAAGCUUCAUCAAAUUUCUCUGCAAGUUCGGUACAUGGUAGAACUGCUAAACACGCUCACCGCUAUUUAACGAGUUCAUUAAGGAAUAAGCCACUUGUGGCCCUCAAUUGAUCUUCGAAAUUAAGAAAAUGUCAUCGUUGUUUUCCAAAGUGUGAUCAAGAUGAAAGAAUCAGAGGGAUAAUAUUUUUUUGGAAAUAAUAUUAUUUUUGAGAUUGUACCCACAAUAUUUUUAAUUUUAAUAAAUAUUUUGUUUGCAUUAUUUUCCUAUUUGUUUUGCUAAUUUUGUAGGACCAUUUACGAAAUUUAUGUGUACAUACUCUUUUAUGAACAAGGUAGUGUAGAAAAAGUGUAACACUUUUUUUUUUAACUCAGGUAACUCAAGUAAUAUAUCAUUUCUACCAUAGUGAAUCCAUUCUUCUUCUUUAGCGUAUAAAAAGUGACUCCGUUCUUCUUUAGCACAUUAACUUGAAUACGCAACUCAAGUAAUAUAUCAUUUCUACCAUAGUACUUUUAGCAUUUUAGUGGUAUUUUUUUUCUCAUAAAAAUGUGUACCCUUUGAAUAAGCAACCUUUGAGGUGCACAACUUAAUGUUUUAAGAGGGUGCACUAUUUUUUCCUAGCGCAUUUGAAAUGUGUACAACUUCACUAUGCAAAAAAACAUUAUUUUUUAAUAAAAUUAAGAUCAAAUUAAUAUAAAUGAUUAAAUACAAUUUUUAUGAAAAAAAUAUAUUUUAUUUUUUAUUUAUAUAAAUAAAAAUAAAAAAUUUAAUAAAACAAAAUAUUAGAGCCACAACCAAUUUUCUAUCUUAUAUAAUUAAAAAUAUUAAACAUUUUAACCAAGAAGAAAAUUAAAAUUGUGAUCAAGUUACAUCCAUAAGCAAAAAGUUAAAAUAGUGAUUAUCGACUCUAACUUUCACAUAAAAAUUUAACAAUUUUUUAAAAAUAUAAACAAUAAAAUAAUAUGACAAUGUAAUAGGAUUAUAAAAUAAAUAGAUAUUUUAUUUAGGAGGAAUAUAGAAAAUCUUAUGUCCUAAGCUUCUAAAUUUGUUCAUAAUGAAUUUAUUUUUAUAUUAAAUUUGUUUUCAUUAAUUAUUUCUUAUAUAUUUUUAUUUUGUGUCUAGAAUAUCCAUAAAUAAUUGAAAUCGGUAAAUGUAAAAGAAGAAAUAAUGAAAAAAUAAAAUUAAAAAGAUUUCAUGAAGUCAACACAUUAGAAAAUAAGAACAGAAAGGUAGAGAUAUUACGAAGGAGAGGAAAAAGAAAAAAGAAAAAUCAUAUGACAUGGUUGUCAUAUUAAAGUAAAAAGAAAAAAAAAUAAAAUUUUGUAGUAAUUAACUGUGAAAGGAGAUCGAGGGUUACAGGGUAAUUUUAAAAUUUUGAUGAUUUCACUAUUGAAAUACAUGUUUCUAGAAUUAAUUUUUCCAAGAUGUAUGUACUUUAAAAUUUAAAAUUUAAAACUUUAAAUUUUUUAUAUUUUUUAGUUGUUGCAUGAAUAUUACAUCAUUCUCCAUGAAUAGAAUGUGAUAGGGCAUGGUUUUUAAAUCACUUUUAUAAUAAUUUUUUUAUAAUUAACAAGUUUGGCAAAAGAUAUUCUUAAAUGAUUUAAUUUAUAUUCAAUGCUAGUAGUCAUUUUAAUUGGAUAAACUUUUCAAAAGCAAAUUUGAAGAAUUUGGGUCAAAUGUAAUGUGCAUUUUUGUAGGGCCCUCCCAAUGGACCUCGUAAUGCCAAAACUUCUGGCCUUCAUGUUUUGUCAACUUGUUCACACAAUAAGCUCACGAGCUUUACCUUGCUUUAUCUUGUGAGACUUUGAUAUAUGCUUUGUUUGUAUUAAAGAGGUAAAAAAGUUCUUAACCACCAUUCCAUUUUGCACUAAAAAAAAAUUGAUAUAGACAUGCCAAUUGACUUUGUGUGUCAAAUAUUGUCAUGAUGCAUAUGAGAAAAUAAUGUGUCAUUUGACUCCUUUGAGUCAAAUCUUGCCUUUAAGUACAGAGAAAUAUUUGAGAAAUCGCAAGCAUUUUUUCUUUGUUGUUCAUUAAUAUAUGGAAUAGGUUGACCUUUGAAUUAGUCAAGGACAUGGUAGGUCUUUUGGUCUUAUUUUUACUCAAAUUUAUUUGACUCAAAACUGAAGUAGCAUUAAAAAUGAUACUUCAUGUGGUUGUAAAUUUACAUUUCCUAAGGGUUUUCUUCCCUAUUUGAACCAAAAAUUGAUUUUUAGGGUUAGAGGAACACCUCCCCUACAACAGUCAGACAAACUCCAUUGAGUUCCUCUUCCAUUCAAAGAGUGGGUGUGUUUGUUUCCCAAGAAAAUCUAACCCAUUUUAAGUUCAAAAUAAAUUUUUAUCAAAUUUUUCUUUAGAGCUUGGGUUGAUUCAUUUGGUUCUUCCAAAGAUGAGAACUUUUAACUCAAUGACCCAAUCAAAUUACAUGCAUAAUAACAUGAAAAUCUAGAAACUUAAGUAUUACCGUUUCUAAAUAUGACAACUUUUAAUUCAACAACCCAAUCAAAUAAUCAUGCAUAAUAACGAGAAAAAUCUAAAAACCUAAGAACUACCGUUUCCGAAGAUAUGGACUUUUAAUCUAAUAAACCCAUCAAAUAACAUGCAUAGUAACAAGAGAAUCUAAAACCCCUAAGAACUAACAUUGCCAAUUUAACCCAAUAACCCAAUCAACUAACAUGCAUAAUAACUAGAGAAUAUAAAAAAACCCUAAGAACUAAUCAUUGAAACAUGAAAAUUUUGAUAGUAUGGGAAUAACCUAUAAACCUUAAAAUUAUCAAACUUUGAAAAGUAAGAUUUUUAAUAAAAUAGCAUUCUAACACCAUGAAUGAUAACUAGAAAAUUUAAAACCGAACCAAAAUUUUCAAGAUAAGACUUCUAAGAAAAUAGCAUUUUGAUAACAUGAAUAGUAACUAGAAAAAUUAAAACCUAACCAAAAUGUUCAAGAUGAGACUUUCAAUGAAAUAGAAUUCUAAUAUCAUAAAAUAUGUUCCAAAAAAUUUAAAACCUAACCAAAUUUUUGUAUAACCAACUUUUCAAGAUGGGAAUUUUUAAUAAAGUAACAUUCUAAUAACAUAAGAAGUGUACUUGAAUAUGUCUAAGUAUGUUGUCCUAAAGGAGCACUUAAAAAGAAGCUAUUCUAAAAAGAGAAAAGGAAAAUCCUAGAUCUAACUUGGGGUUUCCAAGGGUCACAAUGAGGGGCUAGAUAAAUCCCUCAACUAGAGUCUUUGAGAUGGCUAAAAAAGGUAAGUUGUGUGAGUUGAAAAUGGGCCACCAGGGAGACUACUGCAAAGUAUGAAAAUAGCACUUAAUAGGGCAUGUGCUAACGUAACAAAUGGAAAGUCUACACUUGCAUGCUAGAUUUAUUCUAAGUUGUGCUCACAUCUAUUUUGCAAGGUUGUUUUAUUCAUCUCAUGGACCCUAAGGAUGAAUGAAUGAAAUGCUUUUAUUAAUUCAAUUGAAUGAAUGAAUAUGAAUGGAUAUGAUCUUUGCCAUUUGAUUCUCUAGUUUGGGUUGUGCACCCCAUGAGGGGUACAAGAUUUUUAUUUUAUUGUAAAAAUAUUUUCUUUUCAAUAGAUGGGUUGUAAGCUCCAUUAUAGGAGCAUAUAAUUUUAUUUUUUAUUUUUUUGAUUGUAAAUUUUUUUUUUUAUCCAUUUAUGGUGACCCAAAAGGAAAGGAAAAAUUCUUAAAUUUUCAUUUUUGAGAUCCUAUGGUGACUUAAGAAAAAAGAAAGAUUCUUGAAAGUUCUUGAUUUGAGAUCCUAAUUUGACUCAAAAUUGGGACAAAUCAUAUAUGGUUUUGAAGCUUAGGAAGUUAGGAAUCCAAUGCUUCAAACAAUUUUCUAUUCGGAGUUGAAAUGAGGAAGAUAUAGUCAAUUGAAGUAAGGUUGUACAAAGAGCAUACUAUUUCAGAAUUAAGUUCGGGCCAAAUUGUUUUUGGUUAUUUGGGCUUCUUUUUUAGCUUUUUUUUUUUUUUUUUUUUUUUUUGUGGAAAUUCGACAUUUUAGGGUUUUGUCAAUUUUUACUAACUAAUCUUUGGUUGUAAGAAUAUUUUGAUAAUUUGAAUUUUGUCCAAUUUUUAAUUACCAAAUAUGCAAUAGGAUCCCUAAAGUUCAUGAGAAAUAUUUAUUUAAUUAUUUCCUUGUUUUUAUUUUAUGUUAUCUUUAUUACUUGCUUAUGUGACCUAAAAUAGGAUAAUUUGGUAUUCUUAAUUAGAUAUAAAUUUUCAUGGGCUUUUUCAAAAUAGGAAAACUUAUUUAAAUUGGAAUGUGUAUUGUUAGGAAAUUUAUUUUAAGAAAAGAUAAGUUAGAAAAGAAUUAAGAGUUUCCAUUCCUUUUAAAAAUUAAUUCUUAAUGAUUUUAAUUUUAUUUAAAAUUUUCUUAGAUCUUUGAGAUCUCUAAGAAUAAAAUCUUUCUUUUAAUGAAAAAACUCUUGUUUUUCCAAAUCUUUAUAAAAUAAUAUUUUUCCUAUUUUGCACAAGGUUUUGAUUUAAAGAAAAUAAGUUGAUUUUGAAAAUUCAUAAUAGAUAAUUUAUAAUUAAGAAGGUUACCAAAAUAAGUAUUCAAACCUAAAGAAAAAUGUUUUGGUAUUCUCUAUAAAUUUUCAUGAAAAGAUUUUUCCAAGAUUAUAUAUUUGAAUUGGUUGUUGCUAAUGAGAAUCUUAUUCAUUUGGAACUAUCAUUUUGAUUUUGGUAUAGAUGCUUCUCCAAGCUACUACACCAUACCUAAGAUGGUCCUUCAGGCUCUCUCCUCCUGAGAUAAGGAGGAAACCCCUAUUUGGAUAUGGAUAGUUCAAAAAUAAAGACUAAGAGAGCAAUUUUGUUUAGCAAACGAGUCUUAGUUUAAAAGAUAAAUAACGGAUUUGAAAAACCUCAUGAUAAGAAGGGUUUUCAAUCUUGUAUGUAGAGGUGUCUAAUGGGUCGUGUUGGGCUGACAUGACCUAAUAUUGAUCGGGCCAUUAGGGGCCAAUGUGUCGGGUUGGGUCGACCCAUGCAAGCCAAAUAGGUGACUCGACACGGCCCAUAAGUCCAUGGGCUAAUCGUGUCAUGCUGGGUCGGGUCGUGCUGUGCCGGUGGGCCAUGGCCCAUGGGCCACUCACUUUGUUAAAAAUUUUAAUUUAAUUUUUUAAGUCAUUUUUUCUUAAGUUUUUUCCUUAUUAAAUAAAUUUUAUUUUUGUUACUUUAAACACCUCUAAUAAUUAUAUUUUUAUUUUAUUUUUUAUAUACUUCUAAUAAUUAUACUUUUUAUUUUUUACAUUUAUAUUUAUUGAGUUUGUAAUUGUAAAAUUUAUAGAAAUAUUAGUUUUUUGUUUUUAAAAAUAGUAAAAAAAAAUUACAUUUGAAUUUGUUUAUUUUAUUUUUAUCAAAAUAACAAUAAAUUUAAAAUAAUGGAAUAUAAAAGGAAAUGAAAUAUAAAAAAAUAAUUCUUUUAUUCAAUAUUUCAACAAAUUACAUGAAAAAAUAAUGAGAAAAAAAAAACAAAAGUGAGAAUUGCAUCACUAUAGUUUGAGUACAUCCCAACUAGGUUGGCACCCACCCAACUAUCAAUCAUAUGCAUUACUUAACCUUUAAAAAUUAACUACAUUUAAUAGAUUUAAAAGAAACGAACAACAUAUAAUUCUUCAAUUAUCAUAUUCACUUUUGUCUUCUUAUUCAAUCUUCAUUCUUAUUUUUUCAUCUUCAAUCAUCAUCAAUCUCUUGAACAUCAUUGUUUGCAUUGAGAUGCAAUUUCUUGAAGGCUUCUUUAAGUUCAUCCUCUAAAGUUUGACAUGAAAAAAGUAAAAAUAGUUAUUGAUUUACUUUUUUUACCCCUCAAACUAGUUGUAAUAUAAUUGUUAAGAGGGGUAUUAUAGACAUUUGACAUGUAAUAAAAAGUAAACACUAAAAGGUGAAAUUUAAAAGGGCCAAGUGGGUCGACACGGUGGGCCGACGGGUUGUUUCUUUAGGCCUAGCAUGGCCUGCUCCUUUGGGUCGUGUUGUCUUAGCUUGCUAUAGUGUUAGGCCAUACUGGCCUUGCCUGACCUUUUGGCGUGCCGAGCCACGGGCCAAAAUGGGCAGCCCGACCCAAUGACCCAGAUUUCAUUAUACAUUUGAAUGGUUUGAAUUGGAAGUUUGAUUUAGGACAAAAUCAAUAACCAUUAAAAAAAGAAAGAAUAUUGUAACACCGUUCAUACCUAUUGACUUUCGUUUUUAAUACUAUUGAAAAUUUUCACGAAUGAGAAGGCAACAAAGCAAGAAUUCUUAAGAUUCUAACUAUGCUACAGUCAUGAAAGAAGAAAAAGGGGGGAGAAGUAAUGUUUUUAUACUACAACCCACAAUCAUGAAAUAAGAAAAAAGAAAAUUCCAAAAAAUAUAGACCAAACAACAAGAACUUGCUUAGGCAUCUUCUAUACGUGAUCCUUUCUUGUCACUUGUUUUUUUUCCAUACUGGAAUGUAAAAUCCUACCAUGAGUGUUAAAAUAAGAUUGCCAUACUUAUUAACCAAUUAGUGAGUAAUUCCUACAAGUGAUAGUUUCUUAUAAUACACAUAUUUCUUGUUUACUUGAGCGCUAGUAGUAAUGAUCAUAAUUUUAAUAUAUUGAGAAUGUAAAAUUUUCUAGCAACAAAUAUAUUUAGCCCAUUGUAUUACAAAAAAGUACUAAAUGAAGAAAAAAAAUAGAGAUGGAAAGAAAUCUAAAUUCUCUUUAGUUCAAAGGUAUAAAAUAAAAUCAAAUAUAAUAAAAAAAUUCAAAAUUUUUCAAUCUUUAUGUAGAAUAGAAAAAAGAAGAAGAAAAAGGAUACUCUUGGUGAAACAUGUAAGAAAUGUUAAUUGAAUUUAAAUUUAUUUUUCAUUUUAUUAUUUUUUUAAAAACUUUUUAUUGUUUUAAAUUAAGAAAUAUACUAAAGACAUAGGUUUUAGUGAUUGCCAUAUGUUGGUAAUAAGCAGGGAAUGUCACUAAAAAAUACAAUAUAUUUUAAUUAAAUGUUACCAAGUAUUGUAUAAUGAAUGAGAGAUGAAUGUUCAAAGAACUCAACCCCUUUUUCUUUUUAGAAAAUCCAUUAGAAAAUUUUUCUUGAAGACUUGAAUAAGAUUUCCUUGGAAAGCAAACAACCUCCAAAAGAGGAAGGGAAUGAAGAGCUCACUCACCGAUUGUUGCUCUCUACAAGCUCUCUCCUCCUGAGAUAAGGAAGAAACCCCUAUUUGGAUAUGGAUAGUUCAAAGAUAAGGACUAAUUAGAAAACAAUUUUUUUAACACACGAGUCUUAGUUUAAAAAAUAAAUAACGGAUUUGAAAAAUCUCAUGAUAAGAAGGGUUUUCAAUCUUGUAUAUUUAUAUUGUCAUUCAAUGACUUAAAUUUCAUUAUACAUUUGAAUGGUCUGAAUUGAAAGUUUGAUGUAGGACAAAAUCAAUACCCAUUAAAAAAGGAAAGAAUAUCGUAACACCAUUCAUACCUAUUGACUCUCCUUUUUAAUACUAUUGAAAAUUUUCACAAAUGAGAAAGCAACAAAGCAAGGAUUCCUAAGAUUCUAACUAUGCUACAAUCAUGAAAGAAGAACAAAGAAAAUUCCAAAAAUAUAGACCAAACAACAAGAACUUGCUUGGGCAUCUUCAGUAAGUGAUCAUUUCUUGUCACUUGUUUUUUUCCAUAUUGGAAUGUAAAAUCCUACCAUGAGUGUUAAGAUAAGAUUGCCAUAAAAGAAAUUAUCAAAUAUGACAAUAUUUUUUCUAAUUUUCAAAGAAUUAUCAAAUAUGACACUAAAUUUUCAAAAUAACACUAAAUUUCUUUCUAUUUUGGAUUUAAAAGUGAGUAGUAAAACUAAAAUUAUCAAAUAUGACAAUAUUUUUUCUAUUUUUCAAAGAAUUUCGAAAGCAUUAUAUUUAAUUAAAAACACUUGGCUGAUAAAUAAAUAAACUGAAAACAUGGGAAUUCUGGAGAGCUACGAAACGGAGAUAAGAAUAUAAUUAAGGAAAAUGAAAGUGAAAGCCAAGGAAUGAGCAUCAUCACCUCCUAGAAGUAUCUAACCCACCUCGCUGAAGUUUGCUAUAAAUACCUAACAAUUUCCCUUGAGUUCAUCAAUGCUUGAGUUUGAAUCUUAUCAAUCACAGUAGUAGCAAUGGCAGACGAGAUUAUCUUGUUGGAUUUCUGGCCUAGCCCGUUUGGUAUGAGGGUCAGAGUUGCCCUGGCAGAGAAGGGUCUCAAGUAUGAAUAUAGAGAGGAGGACCCGAGGAACAAGAACCCUCUGCUUCUUGAGAUGAACCCCGUUCAUAAGAAAAUCCCAGUUCUGAUCCACAAUGGAAAGCCCAUUUGUGAGUCUAUGAUAAUAGUUCAGUAUAUUGAUGAGGUUUGGAACAAAAAAUCUCCGUUGUUGCCUAGUGACCCAUACCAGAGAGCUCAGGCCAGGUUCUGGGCGGACUACAUAGACAAGAAGGUAUGCCUUUUCUGUUGAUUUAAAGCAUUCUUUUCCAUUGAUUCAUGGCGAUUGACUCACAUUUUGAUUAUGGUGAGGGAUUUAUCCAAAAUGCUAGUUCUUCACAUAUUCUCUUCUGAUAUUGAGUUUUGUUGGCUUUGGUGUCCCAAACUAGAACUUUACUGAUUCUCUUGCUGUUUCUUCAACAAGACUCCCCUCUGCAUUUCUGAUAUGGGUUUUUAUUUCUUUGUUCUGUUGAAUCCGACGUCUGUUCGUUCCAUCCAAAAAAGCAGAUCUCAAGAAUACCUUUUCCCCCAAGAAAGGGAAUACAUAAACCAGAAUUUUAAAGAACAGAUUUUGGUUUUUCGUUAUCCUGCUGUUCAACAUUUUGCACAACAGUUGUUUUAAUAUAUGUUCUGUCUUUUUGAUCUCUUUCUUCUCAUUUCUUUAACACAAAUUGAGGGGAAAAACUUUAGCAAAUGAUACAUUCUUUCAACUGAUUCUGAUAUUUUUCCUAGGAUACGAGAUUUCUAUGCCGAAGGGUCGUUAAUAAACUUGCCCAACUAUACAGAAAGUUUGAAACUUGAUGAAAUGCUUCCAAAAGAAAAAAAAAAAACCCUUUUCUCUCUUUGACUCCAUUACUUUCCACAGCUCUAUGAACUUGGAAGGAGGAUAUGGUCAACCAAAGGAGAAGAGCAGGAAACAGCCAAGAAUGAAUUCAUAGAGUACCUUAAGAUUUUGGAAGGAGAGCUUGGAGAGAAGCCUUACUUCGGUGGUGAGAAAUUUGGGUUUGUGGAUGUGGCUCUGGUGACUUUCUCAACCUUGUUUUAUGCGUAUGAGAGCUUUGGUAACUUCAGCAUAGAGGUGGAGUGCCCCAAGUUGAUCGCUUGGACCAAGAGGUGCAUGGAAAAGGAGAGUGUGUCGU
This 63741-nucleotide long non-coding RNA is filed under the name Vitis vinifera (wine grape). RNAcentral's name for it is "long non-coding RNA (VVIN_LNC006642)". Lineage: Eukaryota; Viridiplantae; Streptophyta; Magnoliopsida; Vitales; Vitaceae. The record is from RNAcentral.